UGAUUGAUUAAGAUUUUAAGAUUGUGAUUAGUGUGGUUAAUUAUAAUUAGUGUGGUUAAUUGUUGGUGUUGUUUCCAUUCAUCAAGUUGGAAUCGGAACCGGCCGGGCUGUCCCGUGAUGUCCCUCUCUGGCGUUUUGAUCUGUUUUUCAUGAUUCUCUUUGUGUUUGUGCUGUGAAAGGUGAAACUGUGAAUUUAUGUGAAUAUGUGCAGCUUAAUUUCACAUAAGCUUUUCCUUUUAUUUAUUUUCUUAGAAAUGUGAAUAUUUACAAAGUGAUUUCACAUUGGUUUGCUAACCUAUUUACAUCAUGACUCAAUUAAUCUUAAUCUUAAUUUAGGAUUUGUUUGAGAGACCCCUUUUAAUUUUUCGUUUCAAUAUAAUACUCUUAACUAUGUUCAGAAUAAGAGAAAUCUCAAUGAGAUUCUCAAAAGUUACGUUAAAUUAUAAGAUGACAGAAAAUUUAUCGAUUGUAGAACCAGCGUUUUUUAGAUCAUAAAAAAAGUUAGAAUUUAUGAGGAAGCAUUUGAUGUUACUUACUAAUUUACUUUUACAAAGCAGUCUCAAACUAACAUUUAGUUUUAAACACUUCAAAAUAUAGGUCGUUUUUGUAUUUGGAUGAGUCGAACUUGUCAAACAAAAAGUAAAAGUAAACAUAUCACCGCGAGAUCGACUGGUCAUGUGCUUAUCUUAUUUGGAUCUUUUAAGAAAGAGCGAUAAUUGGCCAAGUAAAGUGAUAACUUGAAAUCUUGGUCAUUAUUUUCCCCUUAUCUUAUCUCAAAUUUUGGGUCAAUUAAAGCUGCUUUACACGCGAGCAGGCAUUACUUUUCCCUCCCCUUGGUGGCAAAUUCGGGUACGUGAGAUGGAUGAUGAGUCAUGAAAAUCCCAUUUUAUUUUUCCCUCAUCUGAUAGGGUUUCGGUGGGGCUUGGUUAUUGUAUGAUUGGUUUUUCCAUCAUUAUCUUUUCGUCAUCAACCAUGUGCUCAAUUAUUGUCUUUGUCCUCCGAUUUUUUUACUUAACACUUGCAAAUUCUUACCGUUCGUCCUUUAUAGUGAGAGAUUUUUUAGUAUAUUCAAAAUACGAGUAUAUACGUUAUAUGUUAUUAUAUAAGUGGAAUGAUAUUUGUAAAAAAAAAGCUUUUUCUCAACUUGUAUAAUAACAUAUAAUAUACAUCUUGUGUUAUGGAUGCAUUAAAAAAUAUCUCCUCUACAAGACAUCAAUCCAUUUACAAGUUUUGUGUCAAAUUGAAAUUUAUAUUUAGGUUUCGUUGUAGUAUUUGAAAUUUUGACACAAUUAGUGAGCACUCUGAAUUGUUAAAACUCGUAUUUGAGUUAUGGUUCUAGUGUUUCUUAUCAAGACUCUUGGUAUUCGUAUUUGAGAAUAAUAUAAGAAAACUCAAACCUACCAUCACCGUUGGACUAAAAUAUAAAAAGACAUGUUUUUUGCGCCUCGCAUUUUAUGCAUUGCACUCCCCUGUUUUUUUUUUUUUUGGACAUUUAGAUUGAACAUGUUGGAGUAAAUAUGUUUUUAUUUAAAAAAUAUUUAUUUUUUGGUUUAUUACAAACAUUAAAUAUAAAACGUAAACUGUUAUUAAAGAUGGGAUUCCAGGAUCGAGUCUAUAUACAUAACUUUGUCCGUUGUGAUUUGUACGGUUUGGUCUCGUCCGUUUUUGAAUCUUCCUUUUAAUUUCCUACGGUUUUGCAUCUUCAUAAUAAUUCCCUUGAUUUCUGAUCAUUUAGCACCCCAACGUCUAUUUUUUUUAUGUAUAUAUAUAUAUAUAUAUAUAUAAAUUGUUAUGUAAGUCAGGAAAUUUGCAGAAAGUGGAUGAGGAAAAAGUUUUACUUAUAUUGAUUUAAAAAGCAACAUAUCGGAAAGCUGUAAGUUCAAAGAUUCUUCCGGUGUGCAAAGAAGAAUUUUAUCAGAAGAAGGUUAUAUGCUGUUUUAUUUUGGGGACGACGUGAUGUUUGUGAAUUGCUUGCACACUUUGAGCAGAGCCGUAAAACGUCUUAAAGAGAACGACUUAGUCCGCGACUCAUCCCAAGAAUCAUUUACUACUCAAGGCUUAUACAUUUUUCGGGUAACUUCGUUCCUUUAUAUUUCAGUUUACAACAGAACAAAUUCAAAGUAAAUUUAGGAACAAAAAUUAUAAAUAAAAAUGUGUAGAAUGAGAAAAAUGAAGUGUGCGGAACUCAUUUCUCGCUCAUUCAUUAGUAAUUUAGUAAUGCCUCAUUGUUAAUCUUAAUUUGUUGCUGUUUGAUGGUUGAUAUGAUACAACGUUAUCCUUUACACUUGCCUUGUUUCAUUUUGUGGUCCAUUCAAUUAUGGAUGCAAAGGCUGCUCAUAGUAGGAACUAAAAUUGAUUGCUUGUCGUUCACAACUUGGCAUUUGAUAUAACAACUGUCCCAUAUGCUAUGCUAUCUCCAAGCAUGAAACAAUGAGAGGUUCUUAAGCUUUUGUGUGGCGUUGAUUUGUCCUUACUGUGCAAAACACUGGGAAAAAUAAAACCUGUUAAGUAAUUGGUUGAGAACUUGAGAGUCUCGAAACUUACAUACAAUUGGAAUGUUAUUGGUGAUAACGCUAGGACCUCGCAUUAUCGGGCAGCUAGUGGGACUAUCUAGCUUAAUUAGUAAGACAAAGAGUACAGAGUAGCCAAUUUGGAUUCGCAAGAUUCAAAGAGGCAGCAGCCACACGGGGUCUAACAUCCCAUUCUCUAGAUUUGCCCCGUCCAUCUUCCACUCAGCAUUAUUUGCAUUAUUUGUUCUUCUUGUUGUGCAAUAAUUAGAAUAUGUUUUAAAAACAAACGAUAUUAUCUACAUUAAAAUGGUAGAGAAGUGUGCAAGCCUCAUAAAAUAUAACAUUAUCGGAUUCAUCUACUAAGAUUAUAGUUUAAUGGUAUUUAUCUUUAUUUAUAAAUGAAAAGUCUUAAAUUUGAUUCUUAUAAAUGACAAUUUCGCUACCUUAUUAUGUAGUUGAUCCUUUGUGUGGCCAGGUCUUCACCACCAAUAUCGCCGUAUCCAAAAAUAUUCUCGAGUUUAAGGCUUCUUCUGUCACAUAUAGUAUGUGACUUCUCCGGUGACUUCUGCCAUCAUUCUUUUGUUCAUUCUAACCAUCACCCAUCACUGAUUGGAGAUAUUUUUCAGUGUGUGGGGAACUCAAUCGGUACACAAAGAGUAUGAUAACACAAGUGGUUGAAUUUUUUUUUCUUCAAACACCUAAUUACUUGUAUUAUGACACUUAAUAUACCGGACGUAUUUUCGACACUAAAAAAUUUCUUCAGUGAUUUGAGUGGCAAUCGGUAGCUUGUUAACUCAAGUUUAAUUAUAAUAAUAAUUAAUGAUUGACUCUAAUGCGAAUUAUAUAAGGAAAACUAAUGAAAAAUGUUUGGAAAUUUUGAGUUUUAACGAUAAAAACAAAAUAAAGGGUAAUGUGAAUAGUACCAAGAUUGACUUUUUAGUUUAAAAAUAUGAUUUUUUGUUAAAAUAAAAAGUACCGGAAACUUUUCGUUAAAGUUCUCAAUUAUAUAAGCGUACCAGAUUCAGCUCGUAAUCAUGUUUCUUUGAUAUUAAAUUCCAAAAUGAAUGAGAAUAUCCUUCUCCUUUACCUAAAAAGACACAAUUAAACAGGUGGGGGCCCCUGUUUGAUUACGACUAAUUACGAAAGCAACGUUGUUUGAUUAGUGUUCAUAAUACACAAGGCGCUUGUUCAUGAUUAAUUAUAAUAACUCAUUAAUUUUUUUUUUGUAAGACAUUAUAAUAACUCAUUAAUUAGUCUACGUAUUAGAGACUAAAGUCAUCUCCAACCGAAGGGUCCAGAGGACCGAAAAUGGUCCUAAAAUCAUUCCAACCAAGGGUCAGGCCAAAUAGCUUGUGGGCCCCACUGGACAAAAAAUGGCCAAAAGGCCGACCAGUUGGCCCCGAGCCGGGCUGGAAUUCAAAAAGCAACAAUCCGUUAUUUUUUUUUUACAAAAUUUGUUUAAUAAUAGGCCCAAAAAAUAUGUUUGGGUGUUCUUUUUAUAGGUUUUAGAGCUUACUCAAAUCCCUCCCACAACCGAUGUGGGACUCUCCCACCCACUUCCCUUUUUUUUUUAUACUCUAAAUAAAACCUCUCACAUUUGACUUGAAAUAUAUAAGUUGUAUUUUUUAAUUUGUUGUAGUUUUUAAAUUUAAGUUGUAUUUUUACAAUUUUAGUUGUAAUUUUUAAAUUUAAGUUGUAUUUUUAAAAUUUUAGUUGUAAUUUUUAAAUUUAAGUUGUUUUAGUUUUUUAAUUUAAAUAAUAAAUUAUGUUUGACCUUAUAACCCUUGGUUGGAGAUGAUUUUUAAUGACAGGGCUAAAACGAGCCCUAUGGCCCUUUGACCCUCGGUUGUAGAUGGUAAGAAAUAUGGCAUUGCACUGUUCAUUAAAAUAUUAAUUUCUUGGAGGGCUAGAGAGCUAAAAAUGAGCCUUCUGGCCAACCUUCGGUUGGAGAUGACCUAUUUAGGUUAUUGGCCUUGUUGUGCUGUUGAAAUCGUAUGAGUGGAAUAAUUUAUCUUUCUGCCACUUAGUAAUAUGGUCUAAUGGUAUUCCUCUUCACUUAUAAGUGAGAGGUCUUAUGUUCGAUUAUCGCCAAAAGUGAAUUUGAACCAAAUUAUUGCUAGCGCUUGUGAGGCUAAGCAAAGCCCUUAUCCUUUAGUAUAGAUAAUAUCGCUUGUCAAAAAAUAAAAAAAUUAUUUUCUCUACUUCUGUUUGUACAUGUAUACACCAUAUUCUAUCCUUAUCCCUGCCCAUAGCUAGGGUUUUGCCCUUUUUGUUGGGAACUAGGAUUCUCUUCCCCCUUCUUUCCAUCCCAUUCCAUCCCCUCCUUUCACAUUCUUUAUUUUGUCUUUCUCUUUCUAUAAAAAAGUAAUAUAAGAUGUUGACGUGGCUUAACCGUGACCAUUCAUAUAGGAGGGGAGGGAAGAGGAGGGAAAAAAAAAAGGGAGAUAAUCCUACUCCUUUGGUUGGUUUGCUUAGACAAAGUUGUCAUUGUCCUAAGAAGUAGUUGAGCUAUAGCUUAGUUUGAUAUCUAUUAUUUUGAAGCAACUGAGAUCCUCUCCAUAUCUCAUGCUUCAUAGUCCACUAACUCAGUAAUUCAGACCAUUCAAUUUAAAUCAUGCAGUCCUUAUUAGGUCAUUCUCCUAACCCACUUCACAUAGGCUCUCUCUCCAAUGCCCAUAUAUCUCUCUCUCAUCAACAGUUCAGAUUAUUUGGUCGGUCAAUUUCGAAAUAUGAGAUCCGAAGAGGAUCUCGAUCCAUUUUGGAGGACCUUGGUGUCUCGCAGUGGAAAAAGUAACAUUUCUUAUGUUGGUUUAAGAGCUUUUGGACACCCUUUAAUUUCUUACAAACUGUUUUAGGUGUAAAUUCUACCGAUGUGUUUUUAAAAAUUGCUAGCAAACAUUAGUUUCACCACAUAACUGUGACUAGGCUCCAAGGAAACGUGGUGGAAUAGUAAGAUCCAAUUGUUCCACAUUGGAAACUUAAUCUAUCUUGAACUAGAUUAAUAUAAUAUGUUAGGUGAUUUAGUUAGAGGACCCAAUUGUCUCUAACUAGCUAUGGACCAAUGUAGUUCGUCUAUUGUUAGAGGACCCGACCAAUUCUUUAUCUCCCAUCAGAAGAAUAACAUUUAUUAGAUAGGUUAAGGGCUAUGGACGCUUCUCUUACAGACUGUUGAAGGGGCAAGUUUUACUCGUGCAGUCGUGCUAUUGGCAAAACUGAAACAGUUACGUUUUAGAAUUCAUACAGCCGACCAUAUUUAGUGGAAUAAGACUGAUUGUUGUUGGUGUAGUUUGUAUUAAGAACUGGUAUCAAACCCUAGUUUCAUCAUGCAAUUAAGCCUAGACUCCUCAGAAGCGUGGUGGAAUGUCACGGCCCAAUUGUUCCGCACUGGAAAGCUUAGCACAUGAUAUUGAGCUAUGUUGACCGUUAAUUAGGUACAUCAUCCAUCGAUGGGUCAAUGUUAAUGUUGGUAUGAAAUGACAACAUAUAUCACUUCAUAUACCCUAGUUGUUAUUAUAUCAAUAUCAUGACCAUGGAUCAAGGUUAAUCAAAAGAAUAAGACCCAGGCAGUGUGUCUAUGCUUCCAUCCUUCGCCUUGGGGACCCAAGAUUAUAUUAUUAGGAAAGUUGCCUUUGCCAUAUCAGCAUCACAAUCCUAAUACGUAGGCUAAUUAGUUUUUAUUCACAGCAAAACAACCCUUGUUUUUUUUGGGGAAAAUUGUCUUUCUGUCUAGUAGGCUUACCAAAUGGCUUGUCUUUAUCAUGUUCGUGUCGUUUUCAUAUCUACUCGUUAAUUUAACGGAUCAUGUUGUGUCAAACCUGUAAUCUUAACGGGUUCUUAACAGGUAAACCGAUAACGACCUGAUUCGUUAAUGAGUCUUGAUGGGUUAUAACGGAUUAUGCAAAAAAUUAUCAUGGGGUUCUUAAUGGUGACCUGAUAACGACCCGACUCAUCAACGGGUUAAACAUUAAUUUGUUAUUUUCAUGUUCUUUCAUGUAGAAUUAACAGGUCGUGCAAAAAAUUGUCAGUCAUAUUUUGUUCAUACAAGGCACAUGGUUUUCAGGAUUCAUGAGGGAAGUUGCUAUAUAAUCUAAAAAUAAAAUCUCAAAAAAUUCAUUUGCUUUAAAAAUAUAUAAAAUACGAGCUGCACAUAAAUUGUUGGAAGAAUAACUCAUAAACUACCAGGAACUAUGUAGUAGUAUAAAUCAUGUUUGACAGAAAAACUAAUCAUUCUUCGAAACAAUAGUAGAGGUAAUUAAACUAAUCAAUUUGCAAUUAUAUUGAGACACAUUAAGAUUAUUUAUUUGUAAUUGUCAAAUACAUGAACAAAUGGACUCAAAAAUAUCAAAGAAAUAAAAGGAAACUGAUCGUCACACAUCGAUUUUUAAAGAGAAAUAAACAGUGGCGGCAAUGUGAAGGUGAACAAUGGCAUAGUGGUAAAUCAAUUUUAUUAGCGGGUCAAUUAUUAUCUUACAUGGCACUUUAUUUGAAUUUCUUUUGGACGUUUACUUAUUGGUGGAUUUUUAUUAGGAAAUAAUAAAUGUACGAGUCUAUCCCUAAGGAAUCCUAACAUGAAUCAUAUGUUAUUGGACUUUAUCAAGCCCUUAACAAGUGUACCGGAUUCUAACGCCACCACAAAAGCAAGAGGCUUUAUUUGUUUGUUGCUGAAAGAAAUUCAAAAAAACCCAUAAGGAUGUAUUCAAUUGAGAAUUUGAGAGAUUUAUAAAUUUUUAUAGAGUUUAAUUGAUUUGUAGAUAUUUCAUAUAAAAUUUUGAUUCAAUUCCCUCAAAAUUUUAUAGGAGAUUUGAGAAUGCUUAAAAUACACUAUGAAAUUUCUCCAAUUCUUUAAAAUCAAUUUCUAAUUGAAUACACCUGAAAUGUUAUAAACUUCUUUAAAAUCCUAAUUGAAUACACCGAUGGGGUUGGGAGCGCCGAGGCAAUCAAUAGAGCUGGGAGCGCCGAGGCAAUCAAUAGAGCUGGGAGCAUCGAGGAAACUGAUGGGGCUGGGAGAGAGCUGGAUGGUUCUUCGGAGCCGUCUAGCAGGGAAGAAUUUGCCCGGCUUCUUGAGAGAGCUAAAUCGUUCUUUGGAGCUGUCUAGCAGUGAAGAAUUUGCCCAGUUUCUUGAGAGAUAACUGGAUGGUUCUUCGGAGCCAUCUAGCAGUGAAGAAUUUGCCCGUCUUCUUGAGAGAGAGAGCUGGAUGGUUCUUUGGUGCCGUCUAGCAGUGAAGAAUUUGCCCGGCUUAUUGAGAUUGAUACUGAAAGGUACUUAUUCUGGCUUCUUUAUAAAGUAUGAAUUUCGGUUGUUAGAGGACUCAUUGUCAUAUGAUUUACCCUGCAGUGCAAAGAAAUUGCUGAGCCAUAAUAAGUUUUACUUGUUCGUCGAUCUUGAUUACACACUGCUUAAUUCCACUGAUCUGAAUCAAAUGAUAGUUGGAGAGGAAUACUUACGUAGCCAAACAUAUAGUACUAGUUUGAUUAGAUUUUGUUUAUUGUAAUUCUUUGAAUGUGUUGUCAUGAAUACAUGUCUAUGCAUGCUCUAAUGUUUUUGUCCAAUUACUUACAUCAUCUAACUUUGCUUAUGAUACUUAUAUCAUCUAUCAUCUAACUUCGCUUAUAAGUAUCAUAAGCAAAGUUAGAUGAUGUAAGUAAUUGGGCAAAAACAUUAGAGCUUGCAUAGGCAUGUAAUCAUGAUAAGACAAUCAAAGAAUUACAAUGAACAAAAUCUAAUCAAACUAGUUUUAUGUCAGAAACAUUGCUACCGAAACUAAUGCAACUAACUUUGUAACUGAUCCAAAGAACAGACUAUCUGUUUGGCUACGUAAUUAUUCCUCUCCAACUGUCAUUUGAUUUAGAUAAGUGGAAUUAAGUAGUGUGUAAUAUAGAUCGACAACCAAGUAAAGCUUAUAAUGGCUCAACAAUUUCUUUGUAUUGCAGGGUAAAUCAUAUGACAAUGAGUCAUCUAACAACCGAAAUUCAUACUUUAUAAAGAAGUACCUUUCAGCAUCAAUCUCAAUAAGCCGGGUUAAUUCUUCACUGCUAGACGACACCAAAGAACCAUCUAGCUCUCUCAAGAAGACGGGCAAAUUCUUCAUUGCUAGAUGGCUCCGAAGAACCAUCCAGUUCUCUCUCAAGAAGACAGGCAAAUUCUUCACUGCUAGACAGCUUCGAAGAACAAUUUAGCUCUCUCAAGAAGCCAGGCAAAAUCUUCACUGCUAGACGGCUCCGAAGAACCAUCCAGCUCUCUCCCAGCCCCAUCAGUUGUCUUGAUGCUCCCAGCCCCAUCGGUUGCCUCAGUGCUCCCAACCCCAGCCUUGGGCCUCUUUGUACUGCAUGGUAACACAACAUAAAUAAAUAAACAAAUUAACCUAUGGUAUAUUAAGAGAAGAAUUAAGCACCUCAUAACUUCAUCCAGCGAGGAAUCCAAAGAGCCAGAAUCUAGGGCGGCAAGACACAAUAAAAAAAGGGUAAUUAAUUCAAAACGAAAAUUUAAAGAACAACACAGGUAAAAAAAAAGUAAUUAAAUCAAGCAAACGAAACCCAAUAAAAAAUCUCUCAAAGCACAAAAUAAAAGAGAAAUUGGCAAUAAAAUUGGAGCCAUGAACAUAUUGAUAUUCAGAUUGGUAGAGGAAAAAAAAAACAUGGAAUAUGUCACUUCCAAUACUAAGAUUCUAGGAAGCACAAAACCCAUCAAGUACCAGAGAAAACGAGGAUCAAACACUCGUUACAAAGUGAUGGAUACAUCUAAUCAAGAACAGUGUGCGUGGGCAUGGAUAGAAAUAUUGCAGAAAAGCAAGACCAGACCUACUCAAAUACCAUGUUAAGAUAGAGAUGAGUAAAAACAGGAAACGAACUAAGACAAAGAUACCUGAAAGGGCUAAAUGCAUGUUAACACGUCUGGGAACAUUACAGAAACCCGAACUUAUUUUAAAAGUCACACACAGGUCCAUAUUGUAAUAUGAGAACAAUAAUUCUCAAAAACACAAAAACAAUGCUUUAACUAGUGCAUACAUUACUCUAUAAAAACUUGACAAACAAGGGAAAAGAAGCUCAAACCUGGGAAAUUCAAUCAGAGGGAUUUUCCAAGACAUACUCGAGCCAUUUAUACCAGACUAAUUAAAGACAAUUAAGUCAUUUAGUUAGAUGCGGGUCAGGCCAGUUGGCUACCCUAAGUAUGAAUCGCUGUUAUAGUAGAUUAAAGUAGUUUAGAAUAUCCCCUUGCCAAAAGUUAUGUAACAAGGCCAAAAUGUCGGAAAAGUUGGACUAAAGAAAAUGUUAUAUUUGAGCCUAAAAAUGAGAAGCAAGGACUCACCAAUGCACCGGAGAGUUAGGCCAUCUUCAACGCACUAGAUGUAAAUCAAAACAUCUCCAAUCCACCUGAUACUUAACACUUGUAUAUAAGUUUUCAGCUAAAGUGAGACCCGAUGUUAUUCGACCAAGAAAUAAAGAUGAGGUUUGACUCCAACCAUCUCUAAUACACAUACCCAAAUUGUUAAAACCCACAUUGAGAGUUUUGACUUUAAUGUUUUCCCUACUAAUGCACAUACCUUAAUUGUUAAAACUGAAAUUUGAGUUUGACACAAUGUUUUCUACUCCAAUGCAUAGACCCAAAUCAUAACAAUGUGCAUUGAAAGGAAAACCAAAAAACUCAAACCAAAAAGUAUGGCUAGUUUGGUAUGGGAUACCGAACCGAAACAAGUAUCCCGAAUCCCAAACUGAAAUUUUUCGAGACAGAAAUUUUGAAGACCAAUCCCAAACCAAAUUUUCAAGAAUCCCGAAAUAUUUUCAGGAUUUUGAGAUAAAUCGGGAAUUCCAAAUUGAAAUAUGAAAACAUGAACGAAGAUGCCCAAAUUAAAGCUUGCAAACAGCGAACAUGCCUUGCUCGCACCCGAGCCUGAACUCUAACUAAAGCUUGCAUACAGCGAAGAGUUAUUGCAGAAAGGUCAAUGAAUCAAAGUAUCAAACUACAUGGAGAAACACAAAUUGCAGCUGCUGUCAUUAAAGUACAAACUAUUGAAGAAAAGUGCUAGAUUCAAUGAAGAUUGCAGAACACAAACCCUUACGCAAAAAGCUUUCUGAAAUUUCAAACGAAAUUGAAAACCCCCAAAUCCAAAACCCUAGAAUUCAAAUGCCCAAAUAAAAAAUGAAUUGAAGCCAUAAACAGACUGUACCACAUCAAGAUUACCAGAUGAAGACAAGAAUAUUACCUUAAUGAAGAGAGAAGUAGAAGGAAGCAGUAGGGCUGGGUUCGGUUUGAAACGGUUCGGUUUUUUGCUAAAACCGAAACCAAACCGAAAUUUCGGUUCGGUUCGAUUCGGUCCGAUUUUUUUUCGGUUUUUUUCUUUUCGGUUUUUUUCGGUUUUGAUUUUUUUCGGUUCGGUUUCGGUUUUUUUUUCGAUUUUUUCAUGAUUUUUUUUUUUAAUAUCUGGAGCUUGAAGCACAUUUUUUUUCUGCAUUCGGCUGCAAAUUUACCCUUUCUCUCCAUUAACCCUCGUCGAAACAGUAACGAUUUGAGGCAUGCAACAACUGUUUCUUGUUCCUGUGAUCUGAGGAGGAAAAGGAUUUCAUCCACCCAACUUCAGUGCCCACUGCAAAACGAAAAGAUUAAAACUUUAGUCACAAAAAAUCCACCGAAAAAUAUAAAGAUUACAAAAAUAAUUGGAAACAUUACCCAGAAAAAAAAUUGAACUUCAAACGGAAUUUAAAAAUCAACAUUGACAUAAAAAAAAUUAUCAAAAACAAACAAAAAAGGUCAAUUGAGAAAGGAGUAUGCAAAAAUGAAGAAAAGAAUUGCGAAAAAAGGGGAUAAGCAAAUAUAGAUAUCAAGGUAGAAAAAAAGAAAGGGAAAGAAAUGGGUGAGACUCUCACAACACAAAAAUCAAACAAAUCUACAAUACAAAACAAAACAAUAACCCAUAAAUUUACACCAAAAUUUCAGAUUCCCUCCAUGGAAUUUACUCUAAAAAAACCCAUAAAUCGACAAAAUAAAUAAGAGAGAUUGGAGAUCUUACCCUGGAGUGAGAAGAUCGAGAAACGGAGAGAGAAGAAUGGAGAAAUUUGGACAAGAAGGGAGUCUGGAGGCGCAGGGCAGAGAGAGAGAGAAGAGGGGAAUGAAAAAAGAAAAGGUUGGCUGCUACUACUAGUGGCUAGGGUUUUGUUGAUUUCUAAUUGCACAAAAGGCUAUAGAUUUAUAUCUUUAUAAAUAGUUUAGUUAUACAACUAUAACAAAACAAUACCAAUUGCCAUGUUGGUUUCGUUGAAACCUCUCAACAGGAGUGCACGGGUUCAAACCCACAUGCCUCCAGAACUUUAGAGAUUUUUUUAUUUUUUAUAAUUAAAAUAUUAUAAAAAAAAUAAUUAAAUAUAUAUUCGGUUCGGUUUUUUUCGGUUUUCGGUUUUUUGAACCCACCCCUAGGAAGCAGAGGUGGCUGUAUUGAUUAUCGAAUGCAGAGGAAGUUGUCAAAUGCAAAAAUACAUUAAAUUGUUCUUUUUCGUAUCUUUACUAAUUAAUAAAAUACUCAUUGUUAAUCAAAAUUCUAUAAAAUUAUCAGUUUAACUCUUUAAUUAAAACAUAACAUGAAUAAAAAAUAUGGGAUAUAAAUAUAAUUUUACACAACCAAAUCUACCAAUCUGAACCCUUAAACUUUGGUUAAACGACUACAAACAGAAACUCCUUUAAAGUUAUAAUAGAAGCAAAAUUUUCUUUAUUCUACCACAAUGUUGUUCAAAUCACUGAAACCAAAAGCAAACUAAAAAAUUUCAGUCCUUUUAGUUCGGUUUGGUUUAUUACAAUUCAGUUUGGUUUUUUCUUAUUCUUUUAUUUUUCUUUUUAGUUUUCAAUUUUUUGAGCCCAUUUUCCAUUAGAAAAGGGGAACUUUAACGAAAAGCACCCGGUACUGUUCAUUUUAACGAAAAACCACAUUUUUAUACUAAAAAGUCAAUCAUGGUACUAUUCACUUUACCCUUUAUUUUGUUCUUAUCAUUAAACCUCAAAGUUUUUAAACCCUUUUCAUUAGUUUUCCUUUAGAAAAGACCCGCCAUUUGUUCCAAAUAUUAUCUUUACUAAUUAACAAAACUCAUUCUCAACCAAAAUUCUAUAAAAUUACCAGUUUAAUCCUCUAAUUAAAACAGAACAUGAAUAAAAAAUAUGAGACAAAAAUGUAAUUUCACACAACCAAAUUUUGCUGUAUUUUUUUUUCAAAACCUCACCUACAUGUAAUCAUACAUAUCUCUAAUUUUAAAAAAAAAAUCCCACUCCUACAUUCUCUAUUACUCUCUUCUAUUUCAAAAACAAAAAUAAAAAGUUUUCUCACACACUGUGUGCCCAUAUGCUAGUUGUUAGAAUAUAAUAAUAAUUUGAAAGGAGUACGUUGCAUUGAGAAACAUUUGAAAGGAGUACGUUGCAUUGAGAAACAUACUUAUGGGCAUGUUAGUCGGAUAAAAUUCAACCAAUAUGGCAUGCUUGCUUGACUGGAUUAGAACUGUGAUUGCGCUAUUUAACACCAAUCCCAGUCUAGAACAAAUAUGUGGGUUUAAAGAACAACCAGAGUUGAUUUCAGAGAUGUGGUCCACUGGUCAGCCAGGAAAGAAGAGGAAGAAGGCUUAGAGAUCGGGUUGUUUCAGUUUCAAUAUUUGAUUAAGUAUGUAGGUUAUUUCAAUUUCGAGUAUAAAACUGUUGUUCUGUAAUCAGUUUGAGAGUUUUAUACUAGAAACUGAAACAACCUACAUACGUCAAUCAAAUACUGAAACUGAAACAAUCCGAUCUCUAAGCCUUCUCCCUCUUCUUCCCUGGCUCAGUGCCUAAAAAUAUUCUUUUGCUCCCCGAUAAAACCCCUGAUGGACGAAUAAUAUAUUUAAGAAACUUUUUUUUGUAAAAAAUUAAAAAACUGUUUAAUUGAGAACUUAUGUAGUCAUGGAACGAACCAAAUGAGAGAAGCACACUUUCUUCUUCUCCCCAAAACCAAAAUGGAGCUGCGGCACCUGGGCUGGUUUGGUAUUGCUGUGCUUUGAAAACAAGCUGCUGUGAGAAUAAGCGGCUGUGCUGUGAGAAUAAGCAGCUGUGAAAUAAAUCAGCAGAGUGUUUGGUAAACUUUUUUGUAAAAGUGCUUUUGGAAAAAAAAGCAGUCUAAUAGUGAGUCUUUUCAUUAAAGAAGCACUGUAGCUCCGUGUGCUUUGAAAAAAAGCCAGUUUUCCAAAGCUGCAAAUAGUAGCUUCAGCUUUUUCCUUUGAUUUCAGCUUAUUCUCACAGUAGCUUCCAAAAUAAGCCUCUUUUUUUCAGUUUACCAAACACCUAAAACCCCCACAGCUUUUUUUCAUGGAUGUUUUUUUUUUAAGCACCUCACUCCCAAACUAAAUCUUAAUCUCUCUCUGUUUUUGCUGCUCGAUGAAACCAAAAAGGCAUCAAGCCUUAUAUAAGGCUGCUGCCUAUUUUCUCCAACAACCCUAGCCACUCACGUGGCUUUCACAUGGGUUAAAUAAAAGACCCACUUAAUGGGCUAGUGAGAUUAGCUUCAGGCCCAAUGUAGUUCAACCACAAAUUCAACACACCCUUUGUUCAUCAGGAGUUACGAAUGUUGGAUAACAAACAUAAGACAAAAAUUCAUCUCUUUGUUUUACCAAAUCAGCUUGGGAGCUUUAGACGCAUUGUGAAGAACUAAAUCAAAAUUUGAAAGAAGGACACUCCGAACAUUCGAAAAUAUUCCUGCAAAGACGGACGUUCAAAAUUGAUUAACCCACUAAAAACAGCUCGGCAACUACGUGCCGAGUGCUUUUGAAACAUUCAGAAAUAGUACUCGAACAUUCCGGAAACUUUUGCCAAUAAAAACCGAACCUAACCUGAUCCUAUCCGGUUAUGAUUCAUACUUGUUAACUUCAAUCAUGUAGAAUGAGCAUAAGGCGAUACCAUCUAAACGCUCAAUUUUUCAAAGUGUUCCCCGUCCAACAGUGGUUUCAAUUUGAGCAUAUCAUGGAGUUUUCGAUGGUGGUUUCCACUCGAAAUCUUUGCAGCAAAUACUCUUUCAUCAUAAGGUUUGAUUGUGCCAAGCCAAACCGGACGUUUAGGUCACAUGGAUCGGAGAUGCUAAUGUCGAGCAUUCCAACACCCGCACAUUUUCCCUUGAACUUCGAAGUGACAUUGAUUGGUUCAUGCGGUGAGGUUUGAUUGUGCCAAGCAAAUUCGCUUUGUAAGCUGCCUUGCUGCGCACGCUCUCGCACAGAGUUGCAGUCAAGUUCGACCCCAUGUGCUUGCUUAGUUUUGAAAUUUAGAACAGGAUUUUUGCCAGGGCUAGGGCCAUAGCAGUUGGGCUAUUUUCUGUGCCUCAAGACCGCUGAUCGAGGACUUUAAAUCGUAUUGUUUUCUAGUGUGUACAAGUAAAAAGAAACGAAAGGCAUAACUUAAAAGAGAGAGAAUAUAUUUUGUACUUGUGAGGAGGACGCCAUCAACCUAAAGCAGUAAAAAAGAGAGGCCCUUAUGAGGAAGGAUCUGCAUGACAAAGAUGACUUGAACCCCAAAUUAGGAAAAUUCUUUAUAUGGUCUAAAACAGGGUCCAAAUAUCGGCCUGCAACGAUAGACAGACAGGUUUUCUGUCCAUCGUUGCUUCCGACUCUCCCCUCUACAAUCACUUGUCAGCACAAAGAAAGGGGCUUACAAUAUAAAGUUGAAAGUCUUGUCUGCUUUAAACAGAUUACGAAGGGGCUAUCUUCUCAAAGAAAAUUCAAUGGAAGAAUGAAAAGAAAACUCUGUAACUGCAUGAGGGGCGACCACCCUUGGUAAAGCUACAAUCCUACACUGAAUAUGAAAACUUUCGAUCAUGGAAUCAGUAAACACAUUGCAGAAUCGACAUUGACACUAAUAAUAAUGUCUGGUAUUAUUCUCAAUACAUAUCCCUCGCUAUAUAUGACUUCACUGACAAAUAAUAAAAUUAACUAUGAAAUUUCGGUGCGAAACACCCUCAAAAUUUUGUCAAACAGAUGCCAACCUAUAAUCCACACACACACACACAAUCAAAAACACUAAUUUAUAUUGAAUCCGAUCAAAAUUAUAAGAUACCGAUCAGGUAAUAUGGCAAUGAGCAAAGGUGUUUCAACUCCUCUAACAACCAACCAUAGACACACAAGAAGAGUUCUCGCUCCCACCCUUUUAUUUAUUACUAAUUAAGCGUAUUGUUCCGACAAUGUUGGAUAACAAACAUACAUUACAAACCAGCACGAAAGGAAAUUCAUCUCUUCAUUAUACCAAACAACAAAAUUACCGUCAAGUUGGGAGGUUUGGGCUGGGCUGGCCAUGUUGUGGUAGUUGAGGGACUGGCGUCGGCCACCAUGGGAGCACAAAUGGGAAGUGGCAAAUACAAUUGAUUCUCUGAUAUGUAGCCACCAUUGACACCUCUCCUGUACGAGUAUUGCACUUGAUAAUGUCUUUCUUCAUCAGGGCUCUGAGAUUAUUUAUAAACAUAUACAAGAUGUCCUCAUUAUUCGGGUCAAAAACCACCCCACACAAUUUAUCUAUCUCUUGCCUAAUCACAACCAUUUCCUCAUCAGCCAAAUAUACCCUCUUAUUAAGUCUCACAGACAAAUUGUCAUCUCCUCCAUGCAUCGUGACCGUCUGAUCAUCUUUCUGAAGCGAGAGUUUCAACUUUUUAAUGGUAAUAGAGGGAGUCAACUUUGGGUAUUAAUGAGAAAAAUAUGAAAAACAAAUAAAAAUAACUCAUCUCAACGAUAACCCCUCAAAACAAAAACAAAAUCAACCGUUGGAAGCUGUUUGAAAAGGAUAGCACACUUGUAAUUAUGUGUAAAAGCAGGGUUGUAGAAAUAGUGAUUGGCAUUCAGAUUGUGUACAGCCAAAAAGGUAACUCCUCGUGUCAUGUGGCUAAUGAGAGACUUGCAGAACAAGAUCUGGAGAGUGCACCAAGGCUAGCAUCCCUCUUAAACUAAUUACAGACCAACAACCUACAAUCAGAUACUAAAACUCAAAAAACCCCAUCUCUAAGCCUUCACCCUCUUCUUCCCUGGCUAACCACAGUAACGAAUCUCUGAAAUCAAGUCCGGUCGCUCCCUUUGAAGUAAACCUUGUCUGUGCCUAAAAGUUCUAGCUCUUUCAUUCUCCAUGUAAAACCCCUAAUGGACAAAUAAGACAUUUAAGAAACUUUUUCAUAAAAAAAAAAAAAAAAAAAAAAAAAGCUGCUUAAUUGACAACUUACAAAAUCAUGGAACGACUUUAGCCAAGCCGUUUUUGUCUGUCCAUACAACUCUACCACAAGGCUGUGGAAUUUGGUAAAGUUGUGAACAAUGAAGGAAGCGUUAUCUCCUCCCCAGGAGAUAACACUUCUGAUAUCUUCAUCCACCGAUGAUUUUGUUAACAGGCUGAAUCGAUUCAUCCACCGAUGAUAUCUUUAUCCAAGCCAUUUUUCCUUUCAUUUAAUGUAAAAUAUUGUUGUAGGUUACCAAAACUAUGAAGGCAGAUGUGUUGAAGGGGCAACAUAAGAUUGUUUUCAAAGGGUUGUUUGCUUCAGAAGUUCACCAGGUUUGGAAGAUGACGGAAAACUUGGGUGCGUACUAUGGUGUACGGAUGGGAGCAAGAGAGCCUGUGAAGAAUCUAUUCAGCCUAUUAACAAAAUCAUCGGUGGAUGAAGAUAUCAGAAGUGUUAUCUCCUGGGGAGGAGAUAACGCUUCAUUCAUUGUUCACAAUUUUACCAAAUUCCACAGCCUUGUGGUAGAGUUGUAUGGACAGACAAAAACGGCUUGGCUAAAGUCGUUCCAUGAUUUUGUAAGUUGUCAAUUAAGCAGCUUUUUUUUUUUUUUUUUUUUUUUUUUUUUUUAGGAAAAAGUUUCUUAAAUGUCUUAUUUGUCCAUCAGGGGUUUUACAGGGAGAAUGAAAGAGCUAGAACUUUUAGGCACAGACAAGGUCUACUUCAAAGGGAGCGACCGGACUUGAUUUCAGAGAUUCGUUACUGUGGUCAACCAGGGAAGAAGAGGGUGAAGGCUUAGAGAUAGGGUUUUUUGAGUUUCAAUAUCUGAUUGUAGGUUGUUGGUCUGUAAUUAGUUUAAGAGGGAUGCUAGCCUUGGUGCACUCUCCAGAUCUGUUGUUCUAUAAGUCUCUCAUUAGCCACAUGACACGAGAAGAUACCUUUUUGGCUGUACACAAUCUGAAUGCCAAUCACUAUUUCUACAACACUGGUUUUACACAUAAUUACAAGUGUGCUAUCCUUUUCAAACAGUUUCCAACGGUUGAUUUUGAUUUUGAUUUUGAUUUUGUUUUUGUUUUGAGGGGUUAUCGUUGAGAUGAGUUAUUUUUUUUUGUUUUUCAUAUUUUGACUAUUUUUCUCAUUAAUACCCAAAGUUGACUCCCUAUUACCAUGAAAAAGUUGAAACUCUCGCUUCAGAAAGAUACACAAGGCAAAAUUCUUUAUCGUUGCUCCACCAGUCUUUACCUACAAAUGCUCCUGUUAGAAAGGUGUCUUUAUGAGAGACGUCCAAGGUAUAAGGGUAGAAAAAGAUCUAGAAAGACUUGGAAAGAAACUCUAAAAGACAUGGAGUACAAGACCGAGUGCAAUGGCAUUUCAGGAUUCAUACAAUCGAUCCCAUAAUUGAGAGAUGGAUUUUAAUUUUACCAGACAGAGAGUAGCACUAGAUCAGGAAAUCGCUGAUUUUGACACUGGCGUGUUCAUAAAUAGCAUCAAAAGUCAAAAGCACGAGUCCUGCAACGGGGAAAUGAAACAUUUUAGUAAUAAGGAGAGACAAGCGACUAGAGAAAUAGCGCCGGCAAAGAUAAAAGCCAAAAACAAUGGUUUUCUCCAUCUACAAACGAAUGAGAGAUGGAUAUUAUUUUACCUGACACUAGAUCAGGAAAUUGCGGAUUUUGACACUGGUGUGUUCAUAAUUAGCAUCAGAAGGCGGUGUGUUCAUAAUUAGCAUCAGAAGGCAAAGGCAAGAGUGCCUAUAUAUUACGACCUGCAACGGGGGAAUGAAACAUUUUAGUAAUAAGCAGAGAAAAUAAAAUAGACAGGAGAAAUAGCACCAGAAAAGAUAAAAGCCAAAAACCUUGGUUUUUUGUAUCUACAAACAACUGAGAGAUGGAUAUAAUCUUUACCUGACAAACAGGGUAGCACUAGAUCAGGAAAUCUCUGAUUUCGAGACUGGUGUGUUUAUAAAUAAAUAGCAUCCAAAGGCAAAAGCAAGAGGCCUUAUGGACUUUCAACUGCCCCAAAAAUGAAACAUGUUAAACAUAAGACAAGAUAAGACAGAAAAAAAGGGCACCGGAAGGAAAAGAUGAAACCAAAAAUCUAAUCUUGGUAUUCUGAUCCAUAAGAGACAGAGAAGGAAUUUACCUGACAACGCGUGCAGCAUUAGUUCAGGAAACCGCUGAUUUUGAACUUCGGUGCUCGUAAACAGGAUCAAAGGAAAAAGGCAAGACCUCUUAUUUAUCUCCGAACCUAGGCACCGGGACAUCUGGGUUUCCAAUUGCCUAUGAAAUGAAAUAUUAUGUUUGUUAAGAAUUAGCAAAGACAGAGAGAAAGAAACGGUAGGGAAAAAGGUAAAACGAAAACUAGAGCCAGUCCAAUCCAACUAGAUAAAAGGCAUACGCCAAGGAAAAUAUUGCCUCAAAGAUAGUUGCUUUUUAAUGAAUUCUUCAUAUAUGCGUAUGUCAAACAUGAAAAACAAGUGCACCAGAUUCACGUAGCAUGGUGAUAUGUAUAUAUGUGUGUGUGUAUGAGAAGCUAAAACAGAAUACCCACUGCACCACAGCGGCAGAUGUAAGCCAGCAUGCAUGCAUUCAUUCAGUAAUUAGGAUGAUGUUCGAAUGAGGAUUUGGAAUCACCAACUGACAACUGCACUGGAAAUGAAGCAUAGCAUCAUCCUAGUUAAUACUAAUGACAGAACAAAACACAAUUUUGAAUAAAUGCUCAAGCAGAUCUAUCAGUCUGUCAUGGUAACUUAAUGAAAAGUUCUUACUUGAAUUAAUCCACCCUUUUAAGAAAACUUAGAUCAGAAUCUAACACCACCACAAAAGCAAGAGGCUUUAUUUGUUUGUUGUAAAUUCAAAAAACACGCAAAAACUCUUGAAUAAAUAACAAGUCUAGUGCCUUUUAAUCAAAUCAAUUCCAUUCAAUUCAAUUCAUAAAAAACAAAUAAAUUUUAAUGUCUGAAUCUCAGGCACCAGAGAGAGGGAUUUGUUGCUAUACCUAAAACAGCGAAGCAAGAACCAAAAUUUAGAUAUCAGACACUGAGUUUAACCACCCACCGCUGAAUCUUACUCAGAAAUGAAAUGAAUCGCAAAUCCAAUUUCCCUCCCUGGCUCAGUCUGGCGGAAGCGGAAGCAGUGGCGGUGGUGGCCGCUGCGAGAAAUGAAACCCUUAGCCGGCGGCGAGAAGGAUAAGGAUCGUCGGAGAACGCCGGCGGAGCCGUGCUUGGGUUUGGUCACCGACGGGAUUGGGUGAGCGCCGAGGAUUGUGCUGGUGGUAUUUCAAUUAGUUUCCCCGUGUUGAAAUCAUUAUCACUUGGCAUUUUUUUGGCAGAAAUUUUCGGGUGUUUACUUUCCAUUUGAAACACGAAAUCUAAAAUUAAAAAAUAUUAAAAAAAGAUUAAGUACCUAAUUGAUCCCAAACAUUUCAAAUAAGUACCCAAUCUAAACUUAUUAGAGAUGUCACAUUCAUUAUGGCCACUUAAUUUGUCUUUUAAAUAUACACGUGGCAACAAUGGAUGCCACUUUUUAGCUUAACUAGGCACCAAAAUAAUAAUAAAAUAACUUCAAAAAAGAUAUAAAAAUGAAUAAAUAAAAAUUUCCCAAAUAUAACCAGAAAAUAAAAAUGAAAAACGAAAAAUAACAAGCCUCCACUACCUCCAAGCUCAACGUAUGACCACCAAAACCCCAACCUAACCUUUAUAUUCAAAACACAAAAACAUGAUACAAACAUUCAUCUGUUUAUUUUACCAAAUCAAGUUGAGAGGUUUGGCCUGGGCUCGCCACGUUGUGGUAGUUGACGGACUGGUGUCGGCCACCACGGAAGCACAAAUGGAAACAGGUGCAAACAACACCUUUGACAUCUCUCUUGUACGAGUAUUGCACCUGAUAACGUCUUUCUUGUUCCAGUCUCUGGUACUAUCUAUAACCAGAUACACCAAAUCCUCAUUAUUCGGGUCGAAAACAACCGCUCUAAUAUGAUUUAUAUUUGGACUAAUCACAACCAUUUCUUCAUCCCCCAAGUAUACGCUCUUAUAACGUCUCACACACAAACUGCCUGCUCCACCGUGGAUCAUGACCGUCUGAUCACCUUCCUUUGCUUCAUACACCUCCCAAAUAGACAGAGUGCGAGUAGGAGAGUCGUACACGCACAUCCGCGGACGCCCGUCAAGCGUAACUAGGGAAUCCAUUAAACCGGAAUCCCACUCGCCACACUCACUGAAAAAGCAUUUAUAAUGAGUUCUAGUAUUAUCACUGUUGUCGAUCAUGAACGGAUCAAACCCAAUAAGAAACUCUCCUCCACCGCCCAGCCAAUACAUCAUUUUGUUGGAAGCAACGCCAAUACUCUCUCUACACAGGUCUCCUACCGCGAUGGCGGAUGGGGAUGACAAAACGAACUCCCUCCAUUCACCGGUCUCCGAAAAGAAGAUCUGUGCUUCGAUUUCGCAGGAAACUACAUCAUCAUCGUCAUCAUCAUCAACACGAGGGUCAAUUAAUCUCACAACCCUGAACUUGUACUCCGCAUUAAGCUGGAUGAUGUCCCCUUGCUGAUCAUCUUUCUUAUAGUCAUAGAAGGGAAGAUCGCAGGUGAACCCCACCGUUACAUAACUGUAGACUUGAGGUGGGGGAGGAAGAGGAACCCACUGGACUGUGUGUGGAUUGCAGAUGUAGUAAUCGCGCUGACUAUACUCGCUUGCGCAGCACAAAACUAAGUCGUUGUAGGCACCUACCACAAUUGGCUCUUGUUUCAAACCGUGGAUGCUCACAAGCCCUUUGAACAACUGAGCUAGGGGCCUAGAGGAUGGUGAAACUCUACUAAGGAAUUCCUCCCCUUGUAUGCUUAUGGCAGAACCUGUUGGCUUUUUCUUACGAUUCCUUUGAACACAUAGAAAAAGGCGGAUAAAAUGAGGAUCUGAUAGGAGACUGCACCAACGCUUGGAAACAAGCUUGCAUUGAGAAACGGACUUAAAACAAGGGAGUCUACAAAGGAUUUCAACCAAUAAUGACUCUGGCAGAUGAUCAAUAUUAUUGUCCCGCAAUAUUGAUGAUGUCCUUUUCAAUCUUAUUGGGGGAAGAAUAUUAGCAUAGGCCGGUACUGCUCUAGGAGAUAACUGGGUUGUUCUACUGCAGACUCCAUCAGUGGCAAUUGUACCAUUAAGAUCUCUCAUGGAGACCGGCAAAAUCGAAGUCAAUUUGCUUGGUGUAGGCGUUUUUACCUGGACAAGACUUAUGCAUGUUUAACUCUACAUAAAAAAAGGUUGCCAUAAACACAUUUUUUUUAUCAAGAAAAAACAAAAAGAUACAGUACUAUGCUAUGGAGAAGGAUCGUUACCUAACAAAGGAGCGAAAUUUCAAUCGGCUGCACAAUUCACAACCUUGCAUCUCGAAUGUCGUGUGUGGAUUUGAAAUCACCGAAACACAUUAAUAGGCAAGGCAAAAGAACACGACGACUGCAAAAACACCAGAAGUGUGAAACAAAAAAGCAAAAGCCAAAAAGAAGAGCCGAACAGGCAAAAUUGUCCUAAAGUUGGACUUGCUCAAGCCUCUUGAGGCAUAUAUAUUUAAAAUUCUUUAAUUAUUAAAGGGGGCACAUAUCAAUACGACGGAAGGAAAACUUGGGUGAAAAUAAUAAUAACAAUAACAGGAACAGACACUUAAAAGUUUCCUACAUACAAACUAGAUGCUAAUUCAUCCACAACUGCACCAUACGCUAGAAGCCAGCUGGUCAGGGGCGAUUGGUCCAACCUCAGCUUUCAAGGCAAAUACAAGUGCAAGCACACUACCUAGCCUGCAGCUAUUCCUCCACCAUGGUAAGCUAGGUGGUAACGCAAAACAGGUAGGGAAAAGACAUUUGAAGAGGAAAACAAGAAAUAUGAUACUUUUCAUGAUUUCUAAACACUUAAUAAUUUGAUCCUUAAGCUUUUAAAUGAAACUGCAUAAAAAGAGUAGUGGCUUUGUGCUGACAAAGUACAGACAAAAGGAUUUUACCUAACAAAGCCAGCCAAUAUUAGAUCAGGCAACCAAUGAAUCUGAAUCUGACUCGGCAGUGUAACUUUUAUUCCCUCCUCUGAAACAUAUUCACAAUCUGGCCGCCGGAUGUGAAGAAGGAAAAAAAAAACACCCCAUAGUACUGCAAGUUCAUUUCAAUCCAAAACUUGCACUCUGAGUAAUCGCAAUUUUUCAUGACAUUAGGAGAGAGAACAAAGCCAGAAAUCACUUUGUUCUAAUAACUGGAAAUAUUAAAGAGCAUAGGAAAUGAGGUAAUAUUAUCUCCCAGACAGUCGUCCUCCCAUAAUCUAAUACCUUCACCAUUGCCCAGGACAAACUCGCAACAGCUCGAAAAAGAAGGGUAAUUGGAAGACAUGUCUUUCCAAGGAUUCCAUGUGGAACCUCCCAUAACAAUCCUGGUGCCCCACCUAUUAACCAUCCCGUAUUUACUCCGAAUCACAGCAUACCAAAGGGAUAGGAAAGAGAGGAUUUUACCUAACAAAAGGGUAGUACAAGAUCAGCACACCACUGACUUUGACACUGAAGUGCUCAAAUAGUAUCAAAAGGCAAAAUAGAGAGCCUCUUAUUUAUUUCAACUGCAUGGGGGGUGAUGAAACAUGUUAAGCAUACAAGAAGCGAGAAAUGGCACUGGAACAGAUAAAAACCAAAAACCAUGGUUUUCUGCAUCUACAAACCUGACAAAGAGGGUAGCACUAUAUCAGGAAAUCGCUGAUUUUGACACUGCUGCGUAUAUAGCAUCAGAAGGCAAAUGCAAGAGUCUCUAUAUGUUACAACCUGCAACAGGGGAACUGAGACAUGUUAGUAAUAAGCAGAGACAAGACACGAGAAAUAGCACCGGAAAAGAUCAAAUCCAAAAACCUUGUAUAAUUGAAUCUACAAAAGACUCGGAGAUGGAUUUUAUUUUUACCUGACAAUGAGGGUAGCACUAGAUCAGGAAACCGCUGAUCUUGACACUUGUGCUUCAUAAAUACCAUCAAAGGCAAAAGCAAGAGCCCCUAUAUUUACAACCUGCAACAGGCGAAAUGAAACAUUUUAGUAAUAAGAGAAACAAGACACUAGAGAAAUAGCUCCGGAAAAAAUAAAAGCCAAAAACCAUGGUGUUCUGCAUCUACAAACAACUGAGAGAUGGAUACAACUUUUACCUUAUAAAGAGAGUAGCACUAGAUUAGGAAAUUGCUGGUUUUGAUACCGGCGGGUUCAUAAAUAGCAUCAAAAGGAAAAAAGCAAGAGUCCCUAUAUAUUACAACCUGCAACGGGAGAAUGAAACAUUUUAGUAAUAAGCAGAACAAGACAGUAGAGAAAUAGCACCGGAAAAGAUAAAGGCCAAAAACGAUGGUUUUCUGCAUCUACAAACGACUGAGAGAUGGAUUUUAUUUUUACCAGACAGAGAGUAGCACUAGAUCAGGAAAUUGCUGACUUUGACACUGGUGUGUUCAUAAAUAGCAUCAAAAGAAGGAAAAUGUUACAACCUACAACGGGGGAAUGAAACAUUUUGGUAAUAAGCAGAGACAAGACAGUAGAGAAAUAGCACCGGAAAAGAUAAAGGCCAAAAAUGAUGGUUUUCUGCAUCUACAAACGACUGAGAGAUGGUUUUUAUUUUUACCAGACAAAGAGAGUAGCACUAGAUCAGGAAAUCACUGACUUUGACACUGGUGUGUUCAUAAAUAGCAUCAAAAGCAAAAGCAAGAGUCCUUAUAUAUUACAACCUGCAACGGGGGAAAUGAAACAUUUUAGUAAUGAGCAAAGAAAAUACAAUAGAUGGUAGAAAAAGCACCGGAAAAGAUAGAAGCCAAAAAUCUUGGUUUUCUGCAUCUACAAAGUAUGAACGACUGAGAGAUGGAUAUAAUUUUUACCCGACAAAGAGGGUAGCACUAGAUCAGGAAAUUGCUGAUUUCGAGACUGGUGUGUUUAUAAAUAGCAUCCAAAGGAAAAAGCAAGAGGCCUUAUGGACUUUCAACUGCCCCAAAAAUGAAACAUGUUAAACAUAAGACAAGAUAAGACAGAAGGAAAAGGGCACCGGAAGGAAAAGAUGAAACCUAAAAUGUUCUGAUCCAUAAAAGACUGAGAAGGAAUUUACCUGACAACGCGGGCAGAAUUAGAUCAGGAAACCUCUGAUUUGAACUUAGGUGCUCGUAAACAGGACCAAAGGAAAAGGCAAGAGCUUAUUUAUCUUCGAACCUAGGCACUGGGACAUCUGGGUUUCCAAUUGCAGUACGAAAUGAAAUAUUAUGUUUGUUAAGAAUUAGCAAAGACAAAGAGAAAGAAACAGCAGGGAAAAAGGUAAAACUAAAACUAGAGCCCGUCCAAUCCAUCUAAAUAAAAGACACAUUUCAAGGAAAAUAUUGUCUCAAAGAUUGUUGUUGCUUUUUAAUGAAUUCUUCAUAUGCACAUGAAAAACAAGUGCACCAGAUUAAUGUAGCAUGUUGAUAAUGUAUGUGUGUGUGUGUGUGCGUGUGCGCACGCGCGCGUAUGUGUAUAUGCGAAGCUAAAACAGAAUACCCACUGCACCACACCGGCCAAUGUAAGCCAGCAUGCAUGCAUUCAUUCAGUAACUAGGAUGAUGUUGUUUGAAUGAGGAUUUGGAAUCACCAACUGACAACUGCACUGGAAAUGACGCAUAGCAUCAUCCUAGUUAAUAAUAAUGACAGAACAAAACACAAUUUGAGUAAUUGCUCGAGCAGGUCUGUCUGUCUUUCAGUCUGUCAUGGUAACUUAUUGAAAAAUUCUUACUUGAAUUAAGCCACCCUUUAUAAAAACUUAGAUCAGAAUCUAACAUCACCACGAAAGCAAGAGGCUUUAUUUGUUUGUUGGUGAAAUAAAUUCAAAAAGCACACAAAAACUCUUGAAUAAAUAACAAGUCUAGUGCUUUUUAAUCAAAUCAAAUCAAUUCAAUUCAAUUCAAUUCAAUUCAGUUCAGUUCAAUUCAGUUCAGUUCAAUUCAAUUCAUAAAAUCAAAUAAAAUUAAUGUAUGAAUCUUAAGCACCCAUGAAUCUCAAGCACCAGCAAUUCAUAAAAUCAAAUGAAUUCAUGUAUGAAUCUUAAGCACCCAUGAAUCUCAAGCACCAGAGAGAGGGAUUUGUUGCUAUACCUAAAAAGCAAAGAAAAAAAACCAAAAAUUUAGAUAUCAGGCAUUGAGUUUAACCACCCACCGCUGAAUCUGACUCAGAAAUGAAAUGAAUCGCAAAUCCAAUUUCCCUCCCUGGCUCAGUCUCUCGGAAGCGGAAGCGGUGGCGGUGGUGGCCGCUAGGAGAAAUGAAACCCUUAGCCGGCGGCGAGAAGGAUAAGAAUCGUCGGGAAACGCCAGCGGAGCCGUGCUUCGGUUUGGUCACCGACGGGAUUGGGUGAGCGCCGAGGAUUGUGCCAUUGGUUUUCAAUUUUUUCCCUUAAUUUUUUGAGUAAAUUGUACAAAUGGUCCCUCAAUUUUAAUCAAAUUGGAGCAAUGGUCCCUCAACUAAAUCCAUUACCAUUGGUCCCUCAACUUAUCAAAAUGUGUAGCUAUAGUCCUUUUUAUCAAUUUUGUCAAAAUUUUGUCAAAAUAAGCUAGGUUGGAAUGACCAUUUAUAUAAUUAGGGUUCAUUAACUCAUCAAAGUGUAUAAUUAUGGUUCUUUUUGUCAACUAUGUCAAAAAAUUUGUCAAAACAAGUUAUAUUGGAAGGACCAUUGCUACAAGUGGGUUAAAGUUAAAGGACCAUUUCUCCACUUGAAUUAAAGUUCAGGGACCAAUGGUAAUGGAUUUUUAGUUGAGGGACCAUAGCUGCACGUUUUGAUAAGUUGAGGGACCAAAGGUAAUGGAUUUUUAGUUGAGGGACCAUUGCUCCAAUUUGAUUAAAGUUGAGGGACCAUUUGUACAAUUUACUCUAAUUUUUUAAGCGCAACGCCAUUAGCUUCCACGUGUUGAAACCAUUAUCACUUGGCUGUUUUUUGGCAGACUUUUUCGGGUGUUAACUUUCCAUUUUAUUUUUUCCGAACGAUAAUAUUUACAUUAGGAGGGAGAAAAUAUAGUUGGUGGGCUAAAUCUCAUAACGAAUUAUUAAUAAUAUGAUUUAAAAUCGUUUAUAGAGAGAAUUGAACAAAAAAAAAAUUAUUUAAGCAAAGAUGAAUAUCAUUGAACCGUCGUACUAAAUGACAACAUUCAUUUGAAACACAAGAAAUCUAAAAUUAAAACUUAUUACAAAAAGAUUAAGUACCUAAAACUCUCCAAACUUUUUAGUAUCAUUCCAAAUUAGUCUCAUACAUUCCAAACAAGUAUCCAACCUAAACUUAUUGAAAUUGUCACAUUCAUUAAGCCCAAUUAAUUUUUAUGUUAAAUAUACAUGUGGCAACAGAGGAUUAAGAAUUCAAAUACGAUUUCAAGGUGAUUUUUUCUGCUCAUUUGUCGCUUCUUGGCUAGUAAAGCUUUCAAUUCUUCUUUUGUGGGGAGAGGGGGUGAAGAUGAUGGUGGCCUCAUCAUGACACUACAUAUUAUUUCAGCACUCUCCAUGACCUUCUCCUCAAUGUCAGCGGCUUGAAUUGUAGGUGGAGUUGGUGGUUGUGCGCUGGGUUUGGAGGUGUUGGCCUGAUGGGAGUGGUGGUGACCGUUAAUUGGUGAAGGCUAUACUUCCAUGACCUUCGAUUAUUUUUAUAGAUAAAGUAAACUCAAGCUACUAAAAGAAAUUUAACUGAGUUUGAUGGAUGUCACAUUUUCAAUAUAUUGGGUACUUGUUUGAAAUGUUCAAAAAAUUUGAGACCUAUUUGGAAUGACAUUAAAAGGUUUGGGGGUUUUAGGUACUUAAUCUUAAAAAAUAUAUGCAAUAGUAUUUUACUUAGACUAAAACCCAGUUAACAACAACAACGAUAAAGCCUUUUUCACCUAUGUGGGGUCGGUUGUAUGAAUUAUGGAAUGUCAUUAUGCUCGGUCUUGUGACAUGCCUUCCCUUAACUCCAAUUAUUCUAUAUAUCUUCUUAGAGUCUCUUUUCAAGUAUUUCUAGGUCUUCCUCUACCCUUAUGCCCUGGACCUCUCUCGUAAAGACACCUUCUAACUGGAGCAUUCGUAGGUUUGCUAUUCACAUGUCCAAACCACCUUCUAAUUGAGGCUACUUCUACAUUACCUUGAAUAUCCUCAUUCCUAAUCUUGUCAUUUCCUGUGUACCCACACCUUCAUUGAAACAUUAUAAUCUCUGCCACACUCAUUUUGUGCUCGUGUUGAUGCGUUCUCAUCACCAAAGCAUUCUCAUAUGUACCGAGUCUUUUCCCAUUAUGCUCCACCCACAUAAGCCAUAAGCCAAUUCAUUAAGACCUAGUUUGGGAGUGAGGUGCUUAAAAAAAAAAACACCCAUGAAAAAAACCUAUGAGGGUUUUAGGUGUUUGGUAAACUGAAAAAAAUGGCUUAUUUUGGAAGCUGCUGUGAGAAUAAGCUGAAAUCAAAGGAAAAAGCUAAAGCUGCUAUUUGCAGCUUUAGAAAACUGGCUUUUUUUCAAAGCACACGGAGCUACAGUGCUUCUUUAAUGAAAAGACCCACUAUUAGAUUGCUUUUUUUUUUCCAAAAGCACUUUUACAAAAAAGUUUACCAAACACUCUGCUGAUUUAUUUCACAGCCGCUUAUUCUCACAGCAGUUUUUUUUCAAAGCACAACAAUACCAAACCAGCCCUAAUUAGAAUUACCUUCUCACAUCUUAUAGUUUUCGGAUACCAAGGAUACUCCAAAUUAUAUUUUUUGCGUAUAUUAUGGAUAUGUUAGUUUUAUGGUAUCAACAACUUUAUGCUACCAACAACUAAUAAUUCUGAAAAUAAAUAAUAAUAAGAAGCAGAAGAAGAAUAAAUAUGACAAAAUAAGGAAUAUAUACAUAAUAAAUUUGAUUUUGACUUUAACUCAGGAAUAUAUACAUAAUACAUUUUCACCAAAUUAGAUAAAGAAUUUUGCCUUGUGUAAGUGAGAGUUUCAAAUUUUUAAUGGUAUUAGAGAGAGGUUGACUCAAAUUUGAAGUCAACUUUUUAAGGGUAUUAAUGAUGGUGCUGGGCACAGGUGCUAAUGCUCACAUUACUCCUGAUCUACAAAACCUGGUAAACCCAAAGGAGUAUAACGGUAAUGAUGGUGUUGGUGGUGUAGGUAAUGAUUCUAGCAUAUUAAUCUCUCAUUAUGGUUCUAACAAAAUUCGCACCGAUGCUUGCUCAUUUGAUCUUCAAGACAUUCUUCACUGCCCUAAAGCUACCACUAGUAUAAUAUCUGCCCAUAAGUUUACCUUAGACAAUGACUGUUAUUUACUAAUUUUUCCACACUUCUUUCUUGUUAAGGACCUUAAGACCCGGAGGACACUUUUCCGAGGGAGAUGUGAGAAUGGCUUAUAUCCAUUUUCUGGUGGCAAUGGACAUCUCCAAAAUCCAGUCACAGCCUUUCUGGGUGUUAGAGUGUCGGCUCAAAAAUGGCAUGCUCGCCUUAUGAUAAGCUUUUUAAAAAACAGCCAAAAUAUGAUAUGCUUAAAAUAUUUGGUUGUCAAUGUUUUCCCUGGUUGAUGCCGUAUACACACAAUAAACUUCAAUAGAAAUCUAAAUCAUGUGUGUUUUUAGGUUAUUCUUUGAAUCAUCAAGGCUAUAAAUGUAUGGAUUUGUCCACAAGACGAGUAUAUGUGUCUCGCCACGUGUUAUUCAAUGAAGACUGUUUUCCUUUUCAAGGACUCACAUCUUCCUCCGAGAGCGUUCAAACGUAAGGUAUUUCACAUUCACCAGAUCUCUUAUUCAAUUUUCCUCUAAUUAAUGCCCCUUCUUUGACCGAGAUACCUACUCCCAUACAAUUUACAAACACCAACCAUCACCACACCACAAAUCCCAUCCACAUCUGCCAACCCGUGCCAAAGAGUGAACCUGCCUCAUCCUACCUCUAUCACCCCAUGCCGAAUAGUAACCCAACCUGCAAACCCACGCCAAACUCUCUUCCACCCUGCUCCUACUUCUUCACCUAUUCAAACAGACCAACCCGAUGUGACCUCAUAACCUAGACCUUCUUCACCUAUUCAAACUGACAACCCCGAUGUGACUUCACACCCUAGUCCCAUAGGUUCCUCUCCCGUGUUAAAUGAGCAAGCUACAGUAAGUGAAGAACCUCUGCUAGUGCCUCACGAGGCUUCUAUUGACCCACCACACUCUAUGACCACACGUUCCAAGUCGGGAAUACAUAAACCAAACCCUAAGUAUGCUAUGCAUGUUGCUAUUAUUGAUGUUCCUGUUGAGCCUACGUGUUUUACUCAGGCAGUCAAAUAUCCAGAAUGGAGAAAUGCUAUGGUCCAAGAAUUCAAAGCAUUGCAGCGCUGUGGGACAUGGAGCUUGGUUCCAUUUUGUGCAAGCAUGAAUGUUUUGCCCAACAAAUGAGUGUUUAAAAUAAAGAGGAAUGCAGAUGGCACCAUUGAAAGACAUAAAGCACGUUUAGUUGCAAAUGGUUUUCAUCAACAGGCUGGCGUGGAUUACAGAGACCUUUAGUCCUGUUGUCAAACACAGUACCAUAAGACUUGUUCUCGGUCUUGCAGUCUCCAAAAACUGGCAUGUUCGACAGCUUGAUGUGCAGAAUGCAUUUCUGCAUGGCUAUUUACGUGAAGAAGUAUACAUGAGACUGCCUGCGGGGUUUGUUGAUAAACAGUUUCCCCACCAUGUUUGUAAACUGCAGCGUUCCGUUUAUGGUUUAAAACAAAGCUCCUAGGGCUUGGUUUCAACGCUUUUCUGAAUUUUUGCUGCAACUUGGAUUUCAAGAAUCAACAUGUGAUUACAGUCUCUUUGUGUUUAAUCAGAAAGGUAUGUAACUCAUCCUGUUAAUCUAUGUAGAUGAUAUUCUACUUACUGGGAAUAGUCUACAACAGAUGGCACAUUUGAUUACCAAGCUACGGACCUUGUUUUCUACGAAAGAUUUGGGAACUCUCCAUUAUUUUUUGGGUGUUGAAGUUAAGUAUUUUGGGAAUUGCAUGCAUCUCAGUCAAUCCAGUGUACUAUAACCCCUCAAAACAAAAACAAAAUUAAUAGUUAAACAGAUACUGAAAAGGAUGGCAAUUAUGUGUAAAAGCAGGUUUGUAGUAGUGAUUGAUAUUCAGAUUAUGUAAAGCAAAAAAGGUAUCCUAAUCAGAGACUGUCAGAGCAACUGAUCUGGAGAGUGCACCGAGGCUAGCAUGUAAUUACAGAACAAGAGUUUUAGGAAACUGAAACCUAGAAACAUCAACCAGACACCAAAACUCAAACAAUCCGACCUCUAUGCCUUCACCCUUUCAUGUAAGUGUGGUUUCGUGUCUCUGUAAUGUUAAAAGGUUUUGAGUUUGUUUGAUUGUCCGUUCUCAUGUAUUGUUGGUGGAACCAACUGGAGGGCUCAGAUGUGAAAAUGGUGAACCAUUUGGCCUUUUCCUGUCAUUUUAUAUUUAAUAUAUUGUUGUAGGUUAUCAAAACACUGAAAGCCGAGGUGUUGAAGGGGCAACACCAGAUCGUCUUCAAAGAGUUUUUUACUUCAGAAGUUCCCUAGGCUUGGAAGGUGACAGAAAAUAUGGGAGCAUGCUAUGGUGUACAGGGAGAUCAGCAGGUUUCGUGAUCAAUCUUUUCAACCUCCUGACAAGAUCAUCUGCAGAUGAAGAUAUCAGAAGCAUUAUCUCCUGGAGAGGAGAUAACGCUUCGUUCAUUGUUCAUAACUUCACCAACUUGCACAACCUUGUGAAAAAGUUGCAUGGACAGACGCAAUCUCAAUGGCUGAAGGAUUUGAAUGGCUAUGUAAGUUCUCAAUUAAGAAGUAUUUUAGUUCUUUACGAAAAAAAAAGUUUCUUAAGUUUUACCGGGAGCAGAAAAGAACUUUUAGGCACAGACAAGGUCUACUCCAAAGGGAGCGACCGGAUUUGAUUCCAAACAUUCAUUACUUUUCUGAUCCCGGUAAAACCCCUGAUAAACAAAUAACAAACUUAAGAAACUUUUUUUUCGUAAAGAACUAAAAUACUUCUUAAUUGAUAACUUACAUAGCCAUUCAAAUCCUUCAGCCAUUGAGAUUGCGUCUGUCCAUGCAACUUUUUCACAAGGUUGUGCAAGUUGGUGAAGUUAUGAACAAUGAAUGAAGCGUUAUCUCCUCCUCAGGAGAUAACGCUUCUGAUAUCUUCAUCUGCAGAUGAUCUUGUCAGGAGGUUGAAAAGAUUGAUCACGAAACCUGCUGAUCUCCCUCGUACACCAUAGUAUGCUCCCAUAUUUUCUGUCACCUUCCAAGCCUGGGGAACUUCUAAAGUAAAAAAACUCUUUGAAGACGAUCUGGUGUUGCCCUUUCAACACCUCGGCUUUCAGUGUUUUGAUAACCUACAACAAUAUAUAUAUAUAUAUAUAUAUUAAAUAUAAAUAUAAAAUGACAGAAAAAAGUCAAUUCAAUUUCAGUAAUCCCGAAAAGAAAAGGCCAAAUGGUUCACCAUUUUCACAUCUCUGUCAUCUGAGCCCUCCAGUUCCUAUAUAUGAGGUUACACCAACAAUACAUUAGAACAUGAGAACGGACAAUCAAACAAACAAACUCAAAACCUUCUAACAUUGCAGAGACACAAAACCACACUUACAUGAAAGAACAAUCGGUGAAUUUGCUUCAGUGCUUCUAGAACCGUUGCAAGAGCUCCCUCGAACUUGGUUUCAUCGCUCCCAAGCAGUAUCAAAUUUUUCCAAUGCUUUUUCCAUUCCUAUAGAUCACAACUCCGCCUAUGUCUUACAUGGCCGGUCCCAAGCCCGGAUAAAGGAGGAGGGGGAGGGCGUCAGGUAGUCGACAGCCGGCACUCCAUGAUCACGUCGAAUCCUUAUGAAAAUGAAUCCAGAACAAAAUCACGCUAAAGCUAGGGCGUCACCCGUAAGUGGCGCGCUGUGUGGCCCGAGCACAGUGAUAAGUGAGCAAGGGUCGCUGUAUCUCCAUCGGCACCCGGAUGCAGUGUUAAAUGAGCAAGGGGGCCAUAGAAACUUCUUUUCGAACGACUCCACUCAAAGUUGUUUGGGAGCAUAUGCUCCUAUCAACUUUACCCGAGACACACAAAAGAAGUACUUUGAUCCUAUUAGACGGGGGAGGGUGAAGAAGCUAGGACAGAAGGGUAGAGUUCAAGAGAGCAAAAUGCGUUUAGGAACGUGGAAUAUAGGAACCUUAACGGGAAAAUCUAUGGAAGUAGUGGAAGUUAUGGUGAGGAGAAGGAUAAAUAUUAUGUGCCUACAAGAAACUAAGUGGGUUGGUAGUAAGGCAAAGGAUCUAGAAAACUCAGGGUUUAAACUUUGGUAUUCGGGCACAAAUAGAACGAGAAACGGUGUUGGCAUCAUCGUGGACAAGACCUUGGUACAAGAUGUUGUAGAUGUCAAGAGGGUAGGAGAUAGAAUCAUGGCAAUCAAGAUUGUAAUAGGACAAGAACUUAUCAAUGUGAUUAGUGCGUACGCACCUCAAGUAGGGUUGGAUACGAGUUCGAAGGAGAAAUUUUGGGAAGAUCUUGGAGACUUGGUGCAAGGAAUUGCUCAGACGGAGAAGUUAUUUAUAGGAGGAGAUUUAAAUGGACACGUGGGCAGGGAGACAGGCAACUAUGGAGGUUUUCAUGGUGGCCAUGGUUUUGGGGGAGAGAAACGAGGAUGGGGAAGCUAUCUUGGAUUUUGCAAUGGCAUAUGAUCUCUUCUUAGCCAACACCUUCUUUAAGAAGAGAGAAGAACAUGUGAUCACCUACAAGAGUGGGUCGUCAAAAACACAAAUAGAUUUUCUUCUAAUGAGGAAAGAGGAUCGUAUAACUUGUAAGGAUUGCAAAGUUAUACCAGGAGAGAGCGUGGCUAAUCAACAUCGCUUGUUGGUGAUGGAUGUACAUAUCAAAAGAGUAAGACAAAAGAACAAGACUUGGAAGUGCCCAAGGACUAGAUGGUGGAAUCUAAAAGAAGAAAAACAAGUCAUUUUCAAAGAGAAGGUAAUCACUCAAUGUGUGUGGGAUAGAGAGGGGGAAGCUAGCCAAAUGUGGGAUUCCAUGGCUAGUUGUAUCCGAAAAGUAGCAAAAGAGGUAUUAGGAGAGUCCAAGGGCUUUGCCCCACACCAAAAGGAAUCUUGGUGGUGGAAUGAGGAGGUACAAACAAAGGUGAAGGCUAAGAAGGAAUGUUGUAAAGCCUUAUACAAGGAGAGGACAGAUGAAAAUGGUGAAAGGUAUAGAAAAGCGAAGCAAGAGGCGAAGAAAGCUGUCAGAGAAGCUAAGUUAGCGGCUUACGACGAUAUGUAUAAACGACUAGAUACCAAAGAAGGAGAGUUGGAUAUCUAUAAACUAUCUAGAGCAAGGGAAAAGAAGACAAGGGACCUAAACCAAGUGAGGUGCAUCAAGGAUGAGGAUGAAAAGGUUCUUGCUACAGAGAACGCGGUUAAAGACAGAUGGAGAGGUUAUUUUCAUAAUCUUUUCAAUGAAGGACAUGAAAUGAGUGCUUCUUUAGGGGAGUUGAGUAACUCAGAAGAGUGUAGAAACUACUCUUUUUAUCGUCGAAUCCGGAAGGAAGAAGUGGUUGUAGCUUUGAAGAAGAUGAAGCAUAAAAAAGCAAUAGGCCCAGACGAUAUACCAAUCGAAGUGUGGAAACUUUUGGGAGAGACAGGUAUAACACAUGGCUCACUGACCUUUUCAAUAGGAUUUUGAAAAACGAAGAAGAUGCCAAAUGAGUGGCGAACGAGCACUUUGGUGCCUAUCUACAAGAAUAAGGGCGACGUACAAAAUUGCAUGAACUAUAGGGGUAUUAAGCUAAUGAGUCAUACAAUGAAGCUCUGGGAGAGAGUCAUUGAGCAUAGAUUGAGGCAAGAGACACGGGUUUCGGACAACCAAUUCGGGUUCAUGCCAGGGCGCUCAACCAUGGAGGCAAUCUAUCUCUUACGAAGAUUGAUGGAAAGAUAUAGAGAUGGGAAAAAGGAUUUACACAUGGUCUUUAUAGAUUUGGAAAAAGCGUAUGAUAGGGUCCCAAGAGACAUUCUUUGGAGGAUUUUAGAAAAGAAAGGAGUACGAGUAGCAUAUAUCCAAGCUAUAAAGGAUAUGUAUGAAGGAGCAAAGACUGCCGUAAGAACUCAUGAAGGACAAACCGAAAGCUUUCCCAUAACUGUAGGAUUACAUCAAGGCUCAUCCUUAAGUCCUUACCUUUUUGCGUUGGUAAUGGAUGAGUUAACAAGACAUAUUCAAGAUGAUAUUCCUUGGUGUAUGCUUUUCGCAGACGAUAUAGUGUUGAUAGAUGAAACUCAGGAAGGGGUAAAUGCAAAGCUUAACCUUUGGAGAGAAGUGUUGGAAUCUAAAGGUCUUCGCCUAAGCCGAUCAAAGACAGAAUAUAUGGAGUGCAAGUUCAGUGCAAAUGGAGGCCAAAACGAGUUAGGGGUGAGGAUCGGAGAUCAAGAAAUACCAAAGAGCGACCGUUUUCGUUACCUAGGAUCUAUCUUGCAAAAGAACGGAGAAUUAGAUGGAGAUCUCAACCAUAGAAUACAAGCUGGAUGGAUGAAGUGGAAGAGUGCAUCCGGCGUGUUAUGUGACCGCCGUAUGCCACUGAAGCUCAAGGGAAAAUUUUUAUAGGACGGCAAUAAGGCCGGCGAUGCUGUAUGGCACAGAAUGUUGGGCGGUGAAACAUCAACACGUACACAAAAUGGGUGUAGCGGAGAUGAGGAUGCUUCGUUGGAUGUGUGGGCACACGAGAAAGGAUAAGAUUAGGAAUGAGGAUAUCCGGGGUAAAGUAGGAGUAGCCGAAAUUGAAGGAAAGAUGAGAGAAAAUCGGUUACGGUGGUUUGGACAUGUGCAAAGAAGGCCUACUGACGCUCCGAUUAGAAGAUGCGACUAUGGGACAGAGGUUCAGGGCCGAAGGGGUAGAGGAAGACCUAGGAAAACUUUGGAAGAGACUCUAAGAAAAGACUUAGAGUACUUGGAUCUAACGAAGGACAUGACACAGGAUCGAGCACAAUGGCGUUCUAAGAUUCAUAUAGCCGAUCCCACUCAGUGACUUGGAUUUUCCAAGUCUCCAACCGAGAAGUUUUCCUCACUCGGAAAAUUAAGGGAACACUACCCCAACCUACAUGCUCCACUCAGAAAGCUUCAACAUACAAGCUUCAACAAAAGAAAAUUCAAAGAACUUAGCGAAGAAGGCUUUGGUGUAUUUAACACAAUACGUUGAAAUGAAGGAAAGCUUAUUUAUUGAUAUCCCCGAUAAGCUACAAAUAUGUACAUAUACAUGAGUCAAAAUAAACACACAAGAGGGAGCCUUCACAAAGGUUGCUUAGGAGAAGUCUCAGCAGUCGGUAGAGCCCCAGAAAGAGAAGGCACCGGAGGGGGAUCAUUUGGAGCCUCAGUACUGGACAGAAUCCCUAGAAGGAGGAGGCAUCAGAGGUUGAUCAUUUGGAGCUUCAUUACGCGGUACAGCCCCAGAAGACGAAGGCAAUAAAUGCCUUUGGAACAAACCCACAAAUCUCUGAUGAUCAAGUAAAACCUGACCAUCAGUUUCCUUCAUCUGGUCAAGCUUCCUCUUCAUGUUUGUAGCAUAGUCAUGUGCGAGCCGGUGCAACUGUUUAUUCUCAUGCUUGAGCCCUCUAAUCUCCUGUUUGAGACUCAUCACUUCAGCCGCCAAUGAUUCAACUUGGCGGGUUCGAGCAAAUAGGCGUUGGGCCAUAUUAGACACAGAACCUGCACACUGAACACUGAGAGCCAGCGAAUCCUUAACAGCUAACUCAUCAGACCGUUUGGAAAGUAGUCUGUUAUCUUUGGGAGUGAGAAGGUUCCUGGCCACCACCGCAGCGGUCAUAUCAUUCUUCAUCACGGAAUCCCCAACGGUAAGAGGACCAGUAGGGGAGACGAAGGAUGGGCGCCAUAUGUUGUCUGGAGAAGGCGGGGCUGCCUCUUCAACAAGGUUCAAGUCAAAACGACGGUCGGAGGGGCCAGACAUUUUCAAAGGUGUUGAAGAGAGAAGAGGUCGGACAAAUCAAGAUCUUAGAAGUGCAAGAAUGAAGCUUCUACUGGUGGAGAUUCAAGUGUGCUUUGGAACUUAAUGCCAGCCCUUAUAAAAAUCUGCACUCGACGGAGCUUCAGAAAUCGAAGAGGCGCCUGCUCAGAAAUCGAAGAGGCGUUUGCUUUCUCAAAAGCUGGGCUGCUUAGAGAUCACGAGGGUUGAUCUCAGAAAUCGAAGAGGCGUUUGCUUUCUCAAAAGUUGGGCUGCUCAAAGACCACGAAGGCCGAUCUCAGAAAUCGAAGAGGCGCUCGCUUUCUCAAAAGCUGGGCUCCCCAGAGACCACGAGGGCCGAUCUCAGAAAUCGAAGAGGCACCUACUUUUUCCAGCCUUGUCAGCACCUGUCACACGCACACUCAGCUUUGCGGAAAAUUAUGGGCAUUCUGUCGAAGACUUCUGGGGAAGUAGAAAACACAUGAAUCUUACUGUUCAAUCACCCACUUCCCACACGCAACAAUAGCUCAUGGGUACCACAGAAAAAACUUUGCCAAAGUUCUCUGCCAAAGUUGAGCACGUGAAGCUUGCAGCUCCCACUACAUCGCUCUGACCAAGAAGGGUAAAAGAAUAGCAAAGAAACAGCACUAACAAAGUUUAGAACCCAUAAAUUUUGAAGGUCUAGCUACCAUAUUAUUACCCACAAAGGGUAAAGGAACAGUACCACUGCUGGAUAAUUGGAAAGUCCCUGUGUGUCAACCUCUGUGCUUCGUGGCAAGGUAGACUAGCAAACAUGCCCAACCUUUACUCACAUUCGAGAAAACACUCCCAAUAAGAUUGCUUGCUCCAAAAUCGAAGAGGCACCGUCCUCCGAAUCUCGAGAGCCAGACUCCCAACAUGACUACUUUCUUAAAAAUCGAAGAGAGGGUAAAGGAACAGUACCAUUGCUGGAUAAUUGGAAAGUCCCUGUGUGUCAACCUCUGUGCUUCGUGGCAAGGUAGACUAGCAAACAUGCCCAACCUUUACUCACAUUCGAGAAAACACUCCCAACAAGAUUGCUUGCUCCAAAAUCGAAGAGGCACCGCCCUCCGAAUCUCGAGAGCCAGACUCCCAACAUGAUUACUUUCUCAAAAAUCGAAGAGACACUGCUCCCCGAAUCUUCGAGAGCCAGACCCCCAGCAUGAUUGCUUUCUCAAAAAUCGAUGAGGCAUCGUUCUCCGAAUCAAUCGAAGAGGCGCUCGCUUUCUCAAAAGCUGGGCUGCUCAGAGACCACGAGGGCCGAUCUCAGAAAUCGAAGAGGCACCUACUUUUCUAGCCUUGUCAGCACCUGUCACACACGCACACUCAGCUUUGCAGAAAUUAUGGGCAUUCUGUCGAAGACUUCUGGUGAAGUAGAAAGCACAUGAAUCUUACUGUUCAAUCACCCACUUCCCACACGCAACAAUAGCUCAUGGGUACCACAGAUAACUUUGCCAAAGUUCUCUGCCAAAGUUGAGCACGUGAAGCUUGCAGCUCCCACUACAUCGCUCUGACCAAGAAAGGUAAAAGAAUAGCAAAGAAACAGCACUAACAAAGUUUAGACACAUAAAUUUUGAAGGUCUAGCUACCAUAUUAUUACCCACAAGGGUAAAGGAACAGUACCACUGCUGGAUAAUUGGAAAGUCCCUGUGUGUCAACCUCUGUGCUUCGUGGCAAGGUAGACUAGCAAACAUGCCCAACCUUUACUCACAUUCGAGAAAACACUCCCAACAAGAUUGCUUGCUCCAAAAUCGAAGAGGCACCGUCCUCCGAAUCUCGAGAGCCAGACUCCCAACAUGACUACUUUCUCAAAAUCGAAGAGAGGGUAAAGGAACAGUACCAUUGCUGGAUAAUUGGAAAGUCCCUGUGUGUCAACCUUUGUGCUUCGUGGCAAGGUAGACUAGCAAACAUGCCCAACCUUUACUCACAUUCGAGACAACACUCCCAACAAGAUUGCUUGCUCCAAAAUCGAAGAGGCACCGCCCUCCGAAUCUCGAGAGCCAGACUCCCAACAUGAUUACUUCCUCAAAAAUCGAAGAGACACUGCUCUCCGAAUCUCGAGAGCCAGACCCCCAGCAUGAUUGCUUUCUCAAAAAUCGAAGAGGCAUCGUUCUCCUCCGAAUCUCGAGAGCCAGAUACCACAGACCACUUUUUCAAAGUGCUCUGACAGAGUUAAAACAUGUGAAACUGGCAGCUCCCACUACCGUGCUAUGACCAAGCAGGGUAAAGGAAUAGCAUUACUACUUGUUAGGGAGACUCCUAUAUAUGUCGACCUCCAUCCCCAACGGACAGGCAGACCUGCAAAAAUGCUCAACCCUUCAUCAUAUCUGAGAGGGCACUCCCAACGAAGCCUUUCGAAAUAUUCAGCUUUCUUUCCCCCCGAUAAUACCUCUGCAAACAAGCUAUACUAGAGCAAGAAUAUCUCAUAUCAUCAGGGUUAAAAGCAAGAGUAUCCCAUAUCAUGCUUUUUCCCUGUCUUUUUCCUUUGGCCUUGUUUUUACCUGCAAGACAAGGAGAAAGAGAGCAAUCAGUCAGCACUUGGAAUCAAGCUUCCAGCCAGGAACUGACUGCCUGGAACCCCUUACCUGAUUACUUACCUGGCAUUGCUCUCGAGUACUCAUCUUCAACAUCUUAUGUUUCCAGGGAAGAUUCCGCAUCUGCUUGAGGAACAGAUAGGGCAAGUGCGAAGGAUACAAGGAAGCAUGUGGAGACAAGCGUAACAGCACACGUGCCGAUACAUCCAUUACUCUGUCAAAAGCAAAAGUAUCCCAUAUCAGCAGGGUGGAACGUACUCUAGAUUUGAUGGACUUGUUUUGACCCUCAAAUUCUUCAGUCGGCCUUAUACUCUGGAGGAAACCAGAAAACCCUCCAGCUCAGUUCAAGAAUAAGCCUGUGGAAAGUUACUUCUUCAAAAGCAAAAGUAUCUCAUAUCAUCUCUUCUCAUUUUUCUUCUCUUUAUCCUUCAUGCUGCUGCAAGAUGGGGAGAAGGUGAACAAUCAGUCGGAGCUCUGAUUGCUUACCUUGUCUGUCACCUCUUUCAGCAGACCCCCUAGCUCGGCGACUUGGGGGACUCCUACUACAUGGUUUGUAUCGCGCUUGACCAAGCCUGAAACUACAAGUAAGCUUCAAGUGAAAUUGAUACAUUACCUUGUGCAUCUCCACCAGUUAAAGAUACCACCCCUGGAUGGAGGAAGAGUACUUCCAGAGAAGAUGCCACAUCUACCUAUGAGACAGAUAAGGCAAGUCAAGACGACACCACACUCCGAUACUUAGAAGUUUCGUGAUUACGAGAUCAUUCUCCCACAAUAUUUCCUUAAUGUCAUUUGUACUAAAUCAUUCACUUGUACUCACUAAAGGAGAGCUUGAACCUAUGUACUUGUGUAAACCCUUCACAAUUAAUGAGAACUCUUCUAUUCCGUGGACGUAGCCAAUCUGGGUGAACCACGUACAUCUUGUGUUUGCUUUCCUAUCUCUAUCCAUUUAUAUACUUAUCCACACUAAUGACCGGAGCAAUCUAGCGAAGAUCACAAAAAGCGACCGUUUUCGCUACCUAGGAUCUAUCUUGCAAGAGAACGGAGAAUUAGAUGGAGAUCUCAACCAUAGAAUACGAGCUGGAUGGAUGAAGUGUUAAGAAUGCAUCCGGCGUGUUGUGUGACCGUCGUAGGCCACUGAAGCUCAAGGGAAAAUUUUAUAGGACGGCAAUAAGGCCAGCGAAUGUUGUAUGGCACAGAAUGUUGGGCGGUGAAGCAUCAACACGUACACAAAAUGGGUGUAGCGGAGAUGAGGAUGCUUCGUGGGAUGUGUGGGCACACGAGAAAGGAUAAGAUUGGGAAUGAGGAUAUCCGAGGUAAAGUAGGAGUAGCCGAAAUUGUAGGAAAGAUGAGAGAAAAUCGGCUCCGGUGAUUUGGACAUGUGCAAAGAAGGCCGAAUGACGCUCCGGUUCGAAGAUGUGACUACGGGACAGAGGUUCAGGGCCGAAGGGGUAGAGGAAGACCUAGGAAAACUUUGGAAGAGACUCUAGGAAAAGACUUAGAGUACUUGGAUCUAACGGAGGACAUGACACAAAACCGAGCGCAAUGGCGUUCUAGGAUUCAUAUAGCCGACCCCACUUAGUGGGAAAAGGCUUUGUUGUUGUUGUUGUUGUUGUUGUUGUAAGUGAUAAUCGACAGGGAACAAAUCACUUACAUUUUCUGUAUUGGCAAGGAUCACAACUGCAUUAUCGUGACCAAGCACAAUAUCUAGGCCUUCUUGAUGUUUUUGGGCACCAUUGUCGUGUGAGAUCACCCUAUCACUGCAAAUGCUCCUUUGACGGAUCAAGUAAACUAGCCUUUUUCCAGCGCAUAUGAUCGUUCACCAGCUGUGUACAUGUACAUCUCGUACAUGUAGCUGGCAUCCCUUAAGAAGGACCUAACAGAGGGCCUCAACGCCUUGCAUGCAUCUUGCAUGCAUCUUGCGUGCACAGGCAUGUACAAGACAUUCAAAGAAUUAGAAAAAGAACAAACAACGACUCACUACAACAACCGUAUAAACCUGAAACACUAGAUAUGUUAAAAUACAUAGAAGUACAAACAUUACAAACCUUGGGGACCAUCUGUUUGGCUCUGCAAGCAGUCCUCUCCUGAAUCGGCGGAAUUAAGGAGUGUGUGAUCCACAUCAACUACUAAGUAAAGUUUCUUACGGUGCAGCAAUUUCUUAAUGCCUAAUUUCUUGACUCUCUCAAGUUCCUCAUUUUUAAGCAUCAAUCCCUGCAAUAGAUACCAAUAGAUUAGGAAGUCAUUCCUUACUAGAAAAUGGAUAUAAGAAACGAUUAAGCCUUUUUCAAGCAUACGUUUAUCUUUUCCAAAAUAUACCAACAAAUUAUGAAUACAUGUCACAUACCUUGUCUUCGUACCCAAAAUCUUUCUCGUUUACGGGAAGCCCACACACAUAACACAUAUCUUGAAAGGAACCAGGGUGAGUACACGCCUCCUUCGACGACGCUUCUGGACAUAUUAGCAUGGUAAAGCCAAAGCGAACAUAGUGCACACAUUUUAGUACUGUAAUUUGAAAACCCACCAAAAUAGUUACCUGCUUUUUGCUUUUCAGUAUCAUCUUCGGACUCCGAUGAACCAUGCAGGUCUCCCUCAAGAAAUCGGCCAAAUUCCUCAAUGCUAGAGGAGCCGUAUUGUGGCGAAUUCAUCUAAAUUAUUCAACAAUUUAUAAACAAAUUGUGAUUUCUGAGUACCCACAUAGAAAAUUCACAUAAAUUAUGAAAAGAAAAAUAAAAGAAAUCACGCAUAAAAAUUAGUAGAAACGUGAACAACCGUACCGCGAAUUCAGAUGGCAGCGAGAUUGAAAGUUCUGCGAAAUGUUGGAUGAUGCCCUGGUUUUAGGGCUGCGGUGUGGGAAAAUCGAGCUCGUGAAAUUUGAAAUUGGGGAUGAGCGGGAGAAAGAAGUAUUUGAAAGUCUUGAUAAACUUCGAAAAUUAGGGAUUUAAAAAGCACAUGAACAAAUCACAUAAAUCGAGAAACUAUAUUUGCAGAAGAAGACGUUUGAGACAAUGAAUUCAGUCACACAUUUCAUCAAUUCUGAAGAAGCAGAAAAUCGCAAUUUCCAGAGAUCAAAGAUUCAAGGAAGAAGAAGAGUAGAAGAUAGCCAUACCAGAUACGAGAGAGACGGAAGCAGAAAAAGAAAUCAGGUUUGGAAGAGCUCAGCCAAGAUCAAGAGAGCUCAUCCACGGCCGGCGUAGAUAUCAGAGGUAUUAGGGAGGAAUGAGAUAAUAGGCGGCAAUUGGGCCUCCUUCUCUUAGGAGUGAGAUAAUAGGCGGUGUUAUUUUUCAAGUCGAUCAAUCGUGUGUCCAUUCUCCUACAUCGGAGUCAAUGACAUCCUUUAAUUGAGAGAGUGAUAAAUUUAGAUUCUAAAAUAUUUUAAUGGUUUUUUUUUAUUUUUUAUUAUAUCGAUAUUUUUACAUUAAAAGCAGGGAAGUUCGGUUAAGCCACAUAAUGGACAGCUUAAUUUGGUAUCGAAAUCGCCAUCCACGAAAUUCGAACCUAAGACCUCUCACUUCCAAGUGAAUAUGAGUACCGUCAGACCGUAGUACUGAAUGACAAUGGAUUUUUUUAAGUGACUGAUUUCAAUGAACUUUAAUAAUUUUACAUAAAAUUAUGACAAAUUAUUAUGUAUUUCUAUUAUAGAUUUCUAUGAAUUUCUUAGGAACGUCAAUCAGUUCAAUUAAUUGACAAUCAAGGAACUCUAACACCCACUCCCGGCAGAGAUCAACGUGGCCAUAGAUCCCAACCACACCACCACAUCAGCCUCCAGGGCCGCCACCAAUGAUUUGAGGAGGAACACAUAAAGGAAAAAUUCAGGAGAGAAAUUGUGGUAUUGAGCACUGGUUUGAAGGACAACUGAGUUGAAGGACAAAGAUGAGAGGGGUAAACCCCGAUGGAUGAGGAUGAAGAAGAUGAAGUCGAAGAGGACGAUGAGAUGUGGCAUUUGGUAUUCAUAUCACCCACCCUCAAAAUCAAAUCCAUCAAAAUUUCUCAUUCAUUAAAAUCCUAGUAAACCUGUAGCAUUCUCACUACAUAUUUUUUUUAAACCAUGUUUGACCACCUGCUGAUUUGGAUGUUCUCUUUAAAAUCCUCUUAAAUGUAAUUUGAUCACACCUAGAUUUUAAAAUCUUUUAAAAUGCUAAUUGACUACACCCAAAUUUCAAACUCUAUUAAAACCCUAAUUUGACUAUCAUUUUCCUAUCAAAAUUUACACGUAAUCAUGUUUUCAAGGAUUACUAAUCUGAACGAUUUUACACACAAGCCUAGCCCCUACGACUCCAACCAGUAAUAAAAUUGAUGAGAUUCCAAUAAUGAAGACAUGCAAUCUUUUAAAUACUAAACUGAUGACAUUGAAUAAGUCUAAGGAGCUUUAUCUAAAAUAGAAAAAUAAUAACGUUUGGGGUGUAUCAGAGAAAUAACACUCUUAGGUUGGUUUAAAAGCUGUUUAGGCGCUAUUUCCUUAGAUUCCAAGGAAGCGAGGACACUAAAUUAUUCUAAAUGUUUAGGCCAUCUCCAACCGAUGGCUGGCCAGAAGUCUAGUUUUAGCCCUCUGGCUCUCCAAGAUUCUCCAAGAUAUUAAUAUUUUAAUGAACAAUACAUAGCCAUAUUUGCCUCCAUCUCCAACCGAGGGCCAGAGGGCCAGAGGGCUCGUUUUAGCCCUGUCACAAAAAACCGUCUCCAACCGAAAGCCAAAGGGCCAUAGGGUCAAACAUAAUUUAUUAUUUAAAAACUACAACUUUAAUUCAACCCAUUUAAAAACCGUCUCCAUUUAAGUUUCAUGUUGUAUAAUUUUUAUGUUGGUUAAUGUUAUUUAAUGUUGUUUCAUGUUACUUAAUUUAAUUUAAUGUUGUAUAAUGGCUUAGGAAGUUAUAGAAAAAAAAUAUGAAACAAAUUUUGUGAAAUAGAAGUUAUAGGAGAAAAAUGGAAUUUAAAAAAAAAUAUGAAAUAAAUUUUGAGAAAUAGAAGUUAUAGGUGUCACAUCCCGACCCGGGACGGAUCAUUUCCUGGGCCCGCUCCACCACCGUAGCACGAUAUUGUCCGCUUUAGGUUUACCAUUCCCUCACGGUUUUGUUUUUGGGAACUCACGAGCAACUUCCCAGUAGAUCACUCAUCCUGGGAGUGCUCUGGCAUCCUUCUCGCUUAACUUCGGAGUUCUUACGGAACCCGAAGCCAGUGAGCUCCCAAAAGGCCUCGUGCUAGGUAGGGAUGGGAAUACACAUUUAAGGAUCACUACCCUGGGCGAUGUGGGAUGUUACAAUCCACCCCCCUUAGGGGCCCGACGUUCUCGUCAGCACACUUCCGGCCAAGGAUUGGUUCUGAUACCAAAUUGUCACAUCCCCGCCCGGGGCGGAUCAUUUCCCGAGCCCGCUCCACUAUCGUAGCACGAUAUUGUCCGCUUUAGGCUUACCAUUCCCUCACGGUUUUGUUUUUUGGAACUCACGAGCAACUUCCCAGUAGGUCACCCAUCAUGGGAGUGAUCUGGCAUCUUUCUCGCUUAACUUCGAAGUUCCUAUGAAACCCGAAGCCAGUGAGCUCCCAAAAGGCCUCGUGCUAGGUAGGGAUGGGAAUACACAUUUAAGGAUCACUCCCCUGGGCGAUGUGGGAUGUCACAAUAGGAAAAAAUAGAAGUUAUAUGAACAAUUUUGUAAAUAAAAAAUAAUAAUAAAACUGUAAAAAAAAAAAAAUCAAAUGCAACGGCUAGUAUCCGUUGCAUUUGAAUUUUUUCUUAAGAAAUCCUGUCGAUUAUAACCGACAGGAAUAACAAAACAUUAAAAAAAAAGUAGCCAGCCUUCCAGCCCUCUAGCCCUCUCCGAUUCCGUGGGGCCCUCCCAGAUUCCAGAGCCCUCUGGCCUAGCCCUUGGUUGGAGACGGUUUUCGGGCUAUUUUCAGCCCUCUGGCUCUUUGGACCAUUCGGUUGGAGAUGACCUUAUAUAUAAAGCCAACAACCCUUUUUGGGGUCACAAGCUUUACUAAAAUAUUUUAGACAAAAAUGCUCCCAAAACAAAAAAAUUCAAAAGUAGUCCAAAAUAAUGCACCAAAUAAUACAGGUGUAUUUUCGUCAUUUUAACAGUAUUUUUUAAAUAAUUAAUUCUUUUUGUACAUUUUUUUUAAUUAGUAUCUCACAAUAAGUUAGCAAUAAUGUGAUUCAAUCAGUUGUUCGUUAAAUAUUAUUUUCUCUAUUUUUAAACACGUUCAAAACAUCUUAAGAGACCUGUAAUGACGGUUAUAAAAAAAGUCUUUCCCACGCGCAUAAUGAUGUGAUUAAAUUAUUUGUCAAAUGAUUAUUUUUUUUCUUUUCUAACAUAUGAUAUUAUCUAUACUAAGGGGAAGCGGGUGAGCUUGACCUCACAAUGGGUUAGUAAUAAUGUGAUUCAAUCAAUUGUUUAUUAAAUAUUAUUUUCUCUAUUCUUAAUGUAAAUUCAAUAGAAUGUAAAUUGAAAAAUCGAUUUUAUUAUGUGAAUUCAAUUGCUUUGAUUGGUUUGUGAGGGGUUUUUUCUAGCAUGAUCUAAGAUUAUUAAUUUACUUCAAAUAUUUAACUUUCCUUUUGUCAAUUCACGCAUAUAAAUACAUUUAAAACGUAUAAAUCGCGCGUAGCACGCUGUGAUUCAAAACGUGAGCAUGAAGGCUAGUUAAAAACCUAAGCUAUCUUGAAGUGGGUUAAUUAUCUGUUAGGUCCAAGUUCGAGUUAUGCAGCCACCUUCUUAGGAUUAGGAUGAAAGGCAUGAACAAGGAUUGUCUGCCCUCCACUUCCGGUGCCCUACCCGUGCCCUCCUGUUUUGUAUGGUCACGGUUAAGCCACGUCAACACUUUAUAUUUUUUUUAUAGAUAUAAUAAGACAAAAAUAAAUAGUAAUAUAAAAUGUUGACGUGACUUAACCGUGACCACAAAAACAGGAGGGCACGGAGAGGGCACCGGAAGUGGAGACCAAACAAUCCUUGUCCAAAAGGCAUGUCAUAGACACGUGUGCUUCGACAGUCAUAAACUAUAUUUUCAUCCUUAUUUUUUCGGUUCGAUCAAAAUUAUGCCGAUUCUCCUACAUCACAUUAAUAACUUUUAUUUUAAUUCCUAUAAUUAUUGUACCAUUUUUUUCUAUCAAAUAUAAUGGGUUCUUUAGAUAUAAACCCUUGAAACCCCUAUUUUCCAAAUAAAAACCCACCUAAAUUUAAACAUUCAAAUAAAACCCAAAUUUCAAAUAGACCGCCAUGUAGACAAAUAUAUAACCAACUAUUACAAUACAUUUACAACUUAUUAUGCAAAAUCCUAAUUUGGUCAAUAAAUAUUAUUAGUUAUCCUAAUUAUGAUGAGCAAUUAAAUUCAUAUGGAUAUUUUACCUUUCUUGUAUCAUAAAUAUUAGUAAAAUAUAUAAAUUAAUUUAUCAAAUAAAAAAAAAGACAUAUCUUGUACGGACAAAAUAAUAUUGUUUGAAUCAUGUAAUUACCUACAUACAAAUUAAUUUACCUACUUAUAAAAUAUUGUACUAAUUUACCUGCAUUUUGAAUCAUGUAAUUACCUACAUACAUAUAUUAUACUAAUUUACCUACAUAUAAAAUAUUAUACUAAUUUACCUAUUCCAAAAAAAAAUAAAAAUUAGUGAUAUUAGAUAAUGUUCGAAUGUUGUGGGUUUGUGCUUGCAGGCAAUUAAAUAAACUUUUAAUCUAAUGCACAUAAAUUAUGUAGGUAAAUUAGGUCAUUUUGGAAGUGAAUUGGACCCUUUAAAUUUUGGUUCGAUGGAAUAGGUAAAUUAGACUAUUUUGUAGGUAAAAAUUGCGUGGAACAUAUAACCUUUGUUUUGUGGAUUAGGGACUAGAGUAUUAGCUGAAGCUGUUGUAGGUUUAUUGUUGUGUUGGUAGGUAAAUUAACUUAUAUAUUUAAUGCACAAAAUUAUGAAAUUAGUAUUAUUAUUGAGUAUAACAAUUUGAAAGGUAAUACAUUGAAUAUACAAUGAAUGACAUGAAUUAUUUUGUAAAAUAUAUAAAAUUAAUUAAAUAGAUGUAACAAGUAACUGAUCCAAAAAUCAUAUCCAAGUAUUAAUAGGGGCAGUUUAGGCAUUCAAAAAAUGCACAAUUUGAAAAGUCAAACUUAGUUAAAGAAUUUGUUUAGUUGAAGGCUACUAAAUGAGCUUUAUUCAAGAAAUGAGAUGGAUUUUAGUAGAGGAAAAUAUAGUUUCAAGGGGUAAUAUCAAAUUUUCAGAGAACAUUUAUAAUGAGUUCUAGAUAAAGUAGUAUUAUUCUUAGAAUAUAAUAAGAAUUUGAAUGGAGUACUGUGCAUGCACCCUUGCAUUGAGAAACAUACUUAUAUCAUGAUAGUCGGACAAAAAUUCAACCAAUAGGGCAUGUUUGCUGGACUGGAUUAGAACUAUGAUUGCGCUAUUUAACACCAAUCCCAGUCUAGAACAAAGAUGAGUUUAAAUAACAAUCGGAUAAGCAGGAUUAAACCUUUCUUAAGUGGGCAUAAUUAGAUUGAUCAAAGUUGAGGAGUUAGAUGCAUUAUGUUUGCUUUAUCAGACGUUCUAGACUACUACCAAAAUGUAGCUAGAAAUGUGGAGAAGAGAUUCAUACCAAGUGGGGACCGAGUGAUGGCCGGAGUUGGCCGGAAAAUGACCUGAAAGAUGGCCAAACGACCACGGUUUAUCACCGGAAUCUGAGGAAGUCUCCCCGACCUUUUUCUUCGUAGUUCGACGACCAAAGCACAUAGAUGCAAUCAUAAAUGAAUUAUGAGGAUAAAAGAGGGAGGUUUAGAGUGUUAUCGGAGCUUACCCACGUCGGAUGUGAUACAAACUCGCCGGAGUUUGUUUAGGCACGAAUAUGCACAGUGGCAGUGCCACUGUUGGAGUAUCACGCCUUCAGGUUCUGAUUUCAAUGUCUCCACGCUCAGGUGGUAUGGGUUGUGGUUGGUGAGUGGGUGUGUGUGCGUGUUCGACGGGAAGAGGAGAGAAUAGAGAGAGAGACUUGGGGUAAAAAAGAGGAAAAAGGAAGAGAGAGUGAGGGAGGGAAAGAGUGAGACCGAGAGAGAGAAAUGAAGGGCUUGGACCCGGGGGACAACAAACAAAGGUGGGCCCCUUGGCACACCUAUUAAGACCCAACAACAAUUUUAAAAGCAAAAUAAACUCAAACUUAGUGAAAAUACAAUUUAAAUUGGGGUUGGGUGUAACACUUUAAAUUUUGGUUCGAUGGAAUAGGUAAAUUAGACUAUUUUGUAGGUAACAAGUGGCGCAUAACAUAUAACCUUUGUUUUGUGGAUUAGGGACUAGAAUAUUAGUCGAAGCUGUUUUAGGUUUAUUGUUGUGUUGGUAGGUAAAUUAACUUAUAUAUUUAAUGCACAAAAUUGUGAAAUUAGUAUUAUUAUUGAGUAUAACAAUUUGAAAGGUAAUACAUUGAAUAUACAAUGAAUGACAUGAAUUAUUUUGUAAAAUAUAUAAAAUUAAUUAAAUAGAUGUAACAAGUAACUGAUCCAAAAAUCAUAUCCAAGUAUUAAUAGGGGCAGUUUAGGCAUUCAAAAAAUGCACAAUUUGAAAAGUCAAACUUAGUUAAAGAAUUUGUUUAGUUGAAGGCUACUAAAUGGGCUUUAUUCAAGAAAACAAAAUGAGAUGGAUUUUAGUAGAGGAAAAUAUAGUUUCAAGGGGUAAUAUCAAAAUUUCAGAGAACAUUUAUAAUGAGUUAUAGAUAAAGUAGUAUUAUUCUUAGAAUAUAAUAAGAAUUUGAAUGGAGUACUGUGCAUGCACCCUUGCAUUGAGAAACAUACUUAUAUCAUGUUAGUCAGACAAAAAUUCAACCAACAGGGCAUGUUUGCUCGACUGGAUUAGAACUGUGAUUGCGCUAUUUAACACCAAUCCCAGUCUAGAACAAAGAUGGGUUUAAAUAACAAUCGGAUAAGCAGGAUUAAACCUUUCUUAAGUGGGCAUAAUUAGAUUGAUCAAAGUUGAGGAGUUAGAGAUGCAUUAUGUUUGCUUUAUCAGACGUUCUAAUCAUUUUCAAUCAAAUUAGACACUCGCAAAUUUUUUUUUGCUCUUCGGUUGGUUUUAGAAAAAUACUUCCUUGAACAUAUUUUCCUCCACUAUGUUGGAUUAUAUAUGACAUUAAGUCAAUAUAAAUAAGCCACAAUAAUUCUUUAUAUAUAGUACAUUUGUAUCAUCUCUCUAAUAAAGAUGAAACUCACAUAUUGGUGAGUCCUAUCUUUAUUAGUAAUGAUACAAAUAUGAUAUAAAAAUGUGAUAAGUGUAGCAUCGAAUCUAAAAUUUCUCACAUACAAAUAAAGAUCGUAGUACUAACGGGGAACUGACAAGUUCACUGUUUUUUAUUUUUUAAUUUAAAAAAGGCUUAUUAUAUUAACAUCCCACAAAUUGUUGAAUAAAUCACACAUAUUUAAUACACCCCACAUUUGCUUUUUCACUUAAAAAUUAUCUUAAUACACCCCCACAUACUUUCCCAUAAUACCCCCACACACCACAUUCUCAAUAUACACCCUAUAUUUUGUACAUACACCCCACAUUUUCUAUACACUCCACAUUUCUCAAAUCUUGUAACACUCAUUUUUAUUUUUCAGGGAUUGAAUCUAACCAUUUGAAAGUAUAGUUUGCCGAAUGAUUUUAAAAUGAUGAUUUGAAAUCAUCUUAGUAUAGUUUGCAUGUCUACCUUCGUUAAGUAGGGUAACAUCAGCAAUGGCUUCAUUGCUAGGUUUAACUUCGUGGUAUGCAAUUUUUGUUUUGACUUUCAUGAACUUCAUUUCUGCAAUGCGGAGCACUUGGAAAACAUUGGUAUCCAUUACUUCCAAACACUGAGAAAUUGGAGAAAAAAAUUCUUGUACGGACAAAGGUAAGGAGAUUUCAUGUAAACUCUCAUUGGUAUCCUUCCCCAAACAAUUUGACUAUAAAUGGUGAUUACAGAUUAUAAAUGCUAAGGUUUUACAAAUGAUUUGAGCUUUAAUGCUGGUGAAAUAACUUCGCUGCGUCUGCAUAGAUAAAUUCUCGCUCUUGGAUUCGAUGAGCAAUUCAUCUGGAUGUGAGAAUAUUAUUUUGAUAGUUGAGAAGAUAAAUAAUAAGCUAAAAGUGAUUUGGGGUGUAUUUAGAUUUUUUUUUUUAAAAAAAAAACCUAAUAAAGGUCAAAAUUGUCAUUACAUAGUGGGUUAAAUAAGUCAAUUAAUAUUAAAUUUUUAAUGUGGAAUGCAUUCAACAUUUUGUAGAAUGCUAAUAUAAAAAACCUUUAAAAAAUAAUGCGUGUUUAUCAUUUCUGUUUGGUGAUCGCCAAUUAUUAGGCAAUGACAAGCACUCUUGUCUGCCUUCCGUCUCUUUCACUAAAAAUGGCGCCAACAUUUUUAGUCAAACAAUCAAUUUGUUCUUUCAAGUAAUAUGAAUUAUUUUCCUUCUUACUUCCUGCAUGACAUUACUUAAAUUUGUUAAUAUUUCUCAAUUUACACCCUCACAAACUUAACCUCUGCUUGUAUUUUCGAUCUUUUUUUUAAUGAGAUGUAUAUAGAAAAUGGGAGAAAAAAAUUCAAUUUGGUAACAAACGCAGUGCACUUUGAAAAAGUAAAAUUUCUUUUUUUUUUAAUGAGAUGUAUAUAGAAAAUGGGAGAAAAAAUAUAUUUUGUGGGGCUUAAUUUGUCACUCGGUUAAGCUGGGUGGCACUAAAACUCUACUCAAAACAUGCCUAAAGCAAUAAAUAUAAGGUGUCACUUUUUUAUAUAGGUACAAAUGUUAAAGAGAUUAAAUUUGGAGAUAUAAUUUACAAUUUUUUAUAUAGGUACAAAUGCUACAGAGACUAAAUUUGGAGAUAUAAUUUACAAACUAAAUGAUGUAUCAUCAAUAAAAAUAAGCACGUUUAUCAACGUUGAAGUAAUAUAAACUUCCAUAUCUUUUAGUUUACAAGACUUUGUCUACAAAUUUGGUCUCUCUAGCAUUACCCUUUUGUCAAUUUAAAGGUGACAGAAUUUCGAUACCACAAAUUGGUCAUUUCAAUGAGAGUUCAAUGUAAUUCUCAAAAUGGCUCUCAAAUUUAUUUUGCGAAUUUCUAUCUUUUUGAAACUCUUCUAAUUGCAACCAAUCUCCUGAUUUUUAUCCCUUGAUUUGCGUGCAUUAAAGGAAGAAUGACACUCCUUAUGUGCUUGAAUUUGGACCCAACUAAUUUACUAUCUAGUCUAGUGACUUGCAUGAACGUUGAUACGUAUUUCACAAGAAUAGACAAUUUUCAAUUUACCCCAAAGCGUGAAAUUAAAAUUUCAUCACUUGCACAUUUCGUUGUAUCACAGUUGUCUCAUCGUCUCAUAUUUCUACUUUGAAUCUAAACUCUAAACCACAGAUGCACUAGAAACUAAUAUAGUCAAACUUAUACAAUGACAUCAUAUUUGGAUCUUACAUUGUAUACGAGGCAUAUGUGCAUACGCACAUAUGUACAUUUCGAUCCAGUAUAUGGACCUAUCUAGUGACACUGUAGAAGCAGUUCGAAGUUCUAUAACGAAGUUUAGGACUUGCUUGUUUCGCUGAAAAAAAUUUGAAGGGUGCAGCCUUAAACGACACUAAAGUGAACCAAAGGCACUUCUGAACCAAAGGCAAAAAUAUCACUUUCUAAACCAAAGACACAAAGAGGUGGCGUUCAAGAGCAAGCAAGGUUGGAAAGAGCUUUAAGGAUUAAUUUCGAAGAUGUAAAUGAAAACUUCAUCAAGUGUUACUAUCUGAAGGUAACAAAAGCCUCGCACCAAAACAAGAGGAACUCAUCAAGACUUUUCUUAUGGCCUAUGCUCGUUUGUUGGUUGUUUCCUAAGAUUCUAAUAUGACUUUGAUUUUAAUUUGAUGCAAUAUAUUCAUUCAUGUUUAAUAGAGCACUAGAUAGCUCUAAGAAACCAAUUUAUAGUUCAAGGCUUUAUUCAUGUGUGUAUUUUCAAGGGAAAAAAAAAAUCUAUUAAAAACAUAGACAUCUGUGGCUAGUUCAGUCCUAACAUGUAUACCCAAAACAAAUUACUAACAAAAAGAUUGCUUGCCUUUUCCUUUAUUCAAUGGAAGAACCGAAGAACGAAAAAACUAAUGAUUUACGUACGAGGGAUGACUACCAUGUUGAAAGAUCAACACCAGCCCAAAGAAUAAGGGCUCAGACCAUGAAAAUUAAUUAGCACUUGGGCUAGAAAAAGUCUAGAAGAAUGGUGAGGUUUCUACGUACGAACAUGCAAGAUUAGUGUAAUUAAUUAUAAACAACUCUAGCAAAGGAAGUUAGUGGAAUAAUCAAGCAUGAUGUUCCCAUGCUCCUCCAAAGUUCCAACUAGGCCCUAUAAAAGGAGAAAGCAUCCAAUCCAUUUGUAUCAAAUAAGCAAGCAAGCAAAUAACCAAGAAGUGAGAAGCAAGAAAUGAGGGUGGUGAGUCAUCUAGAGUUUGUCUCUAGAAAACAAGAGUGUCGUAGAUUUUAAAAUUAUCUCUAAUAUUGCGUCUUUGAGAGUUUUUGUGUUGUAAUAUUUGGGAGAGCAAUAAAAAUAAUUUGUUUACUUGUUUUGUUUGUCCGUGUACUAUAAUAUUUGUGAAUACGUAUCCAUGCACAAACUUCCAAGGUCAUGAGAGUUGAACCUAGCUAGAUGUUCCACUAAAAGAAUGCUCGGCCUACAUAUGCGAAAGGAACAUUUCCGAUCAUCCAACUUGUAAAGAAAUUGAGAGGUGCCAAAAACUCUUAAAAUUUUAUCCACACACAUACUUAACCAAAAACACUAAAUUAUGGUAAUGUGACCGUCAGCAAAGCUAGACACAGAAGAUAUCCAGCCCUUUUAUUCAUCAGUCUUGGAUACAAACAUGAUACAAACAUUCAUCUCUUUAUUUUAAUUACCAAAAACAUGAUACAAACAUUCAUCUCUUUAUUUUACCAAAUCAAGUUGAGAGGUUUGGCCUGGGCUCGCCACGUUGUGGUAGUUGACGGACUGGUGUCGGCCACCACGGAAGCACAAAUGGAAAGAGGUGCAAACAACAGAUUGUCUGAUUUGUAGACACCUUUGACAUCUCUCUUGUACGAGUAUUGCACCUGAUAACGUCUUUCUUGUUCCAGUCUCUGGUACUAUCUAUAACCAGAUACACCAAAUCCUCAGUAUUCGGGUCGAAAACAACCGCUCUAAUAUGAUUUAUAUUUGGACUAAUCACAACCAUUUCUUCAUCCCCCAAGUAUACGCUCUUAUAACGUCUCACACACAAACUGCCUGCUCCACCGUGGAUCAUGACCGUCUGAUCACCUACCUUUGCUUCAUACACCUCCCAAAUAGACAGAGUGCGAGUAGGAGAGUAGUACUCGCACAUCCACUGACGCCCGUCAAACGUAACUAGGGAAUCCAUUAAACCGGAAUCCCACUCGCCACACUCACUGAAAAAGCAUUUAUAAUGAGUUCUAGUAUUAUCACUGUUGUCGAUCAUGAACGGAUCAAACCCAAUAAGAAACUCUCCUCCACCGCCCAGCCAAUACAACAUUUUGUUGGAAGCAACGCCAAUACUCUCUCUACACAGGUCUCCUACCGCGAUGGCGGAUGGGGAUGACAAAACGAACUCCCUCCAUUCACCGGUCUCCGAAAAGAAGAUCUGUGCUUCGAUUUCGCAGGAAACUACAUCAUCAUCGUCAUCAUCAUCAACACGAGGAUCAAUUAAUCUCACAACCCUGAACUUAUACUCCGCAUUAAGCUGGAUGAUGUCCCCUUGCUGAUCAUCUUUCUUAUAGUCAUAGAAGGGAAGAUCGCAGGUGAACCCCACCGUUACAUAACCGUAGACUUGAGGUGGGGGAGGAAGAGGAACCCACUGGACUGUGUGUGGAUUGCAGAUGUAGUAAUCGCGCUGACUAUACUCGCUUGCGCAGCACAAAACUAAGUCGUUGUAGGCACCUACCACAAUUGGCUCUUGUUUCAAACCGUGGAUGCUCACAAGCCCUUUGAACAACUGAGCUAGGGGCCUAGAGGAUGGUGAAACUCUACUAAGGAAUUCCUCCCCUUGUAUGCUUAUGGCAGAACCUGUUGGCUUUUUCUUACGAUUCCUUUGAACACAUAGAAAAAGGCGGAUAAAAUGAGGAUCUGAUAGGAGAGUGCACCAACGCUUGGAAACGAGCUUGCAUUGAGAAACGGACUUAAAACAAGGGAGUCUACAAAGGAUUUCAACUAAUAAAGACUCUGGCAGAUCAUCAAUAUUUCUUGAUGAUGGCCUGGUUGCUGUUGGUGUUGAAAAUAUUUUAUGUCUUUUAGGGUGAUGAAUAUGAUCAUCAGAGGCCGAGGCCGGUGGAGGUGGUGCUGCUGCUGGGUAUGACUGUGUUUUUGUACUGCUGCGGGGUCUUUUCCUAGCUAUAAUAGUAUGAUCAUGACUUAGAACUCUCAUGGCGACCGCCAUGAAUCUGAUCAGAUGAAAGAAAGGAGAAUCGAACUGAAGUGGGAGAGAAAUACAAGCAUGGCUAGGCGCAAUUGGAUCAUAGGAAUGGCAUGUAAUUUUAUAGCCACGCAACGCACCAUCCAUAUUCCUUAACCUCCUACGAAUAGGAAUAGGAAAAGUAAUAAUUCUAGGAUUAGGAAUCCUAACCUUAAUAGGAAUAGGAAAAGUAAUAAUUCUAGGAUUAGGAAUCCUAACCCUAAUGAAAAUAUAUUAGGAAUUUAGGAACAGAAACGGGGAAAUAAAUAAUGGGGGUUUUUUUUUUUGGAUAGCAAAUAAUGAAUAUAUGAUAGUACAUACUUGCUGCUUAGUUCCGCUCGUUCCAUUGCAUUCCCGAAAUCCAAUCGUGCUCAAAAAUAUCUUAUAAGGACAUGUGUCAGGAUGCUGCAAUGUGAGUGGUUAAAGUUUUUAUUGAAAAUCUAAAUAUGAAUUUUUAAUAAAUAGUGACACGUGACGUGAUAUAUGUACGGUUUUUUACAAAUCAUGAUAUUAUCAAAAUGUUUUUUGUAAUUACUAUUUUGAAACUUCAUAACUUAUUUUGAAAAUAACUUUAAAUCUAAUGGGUGUAAAAUUUAUCCUUAGUUAGCCCCACUCUUAACAUUUGUGUUUUUGGAAUGAUUUAUUUUAUUUUAGGUGAAGUAUCUUUACGCAUGGUGUCCAUUCACGUUGCAAGUAGAUUGGGUUUUAGAAAUAUGUUUUCCGAAAUUUUAUGGGCGCCAUUGACUAUCCAGAAGAUCAAUAAUUAAAAAAGUAAACAAGAUCAAUUUCAUAAGCUAAAAUUUCACUAUUUACAAAAAUACAUUAAAUAAAAAUAUACGAAUUAGUUGUGUCACCAUCAUCUUGUUCCUCAAGAUAAGAAAAUUUGAUUCAGUAUGGAAUCAACCAUCUAAGGGUUUUACCUGAGCGGCAAUUAAUUACGAAAUAUCUGCUAAUUAUAUGCAAGCAUGCACAAAAUAUCACAAAACUUGUCAGCUAAAAACCAUUAAGAGCACAUUAAUCCAUUUCAGUCUAACAUCCUGUAAGUUCAAAAGGACGGAUGUAUGUUUAGUAAUCAAAACCUAAUUAAUCAUAUUCCCUGCAAAAGCUCAAACAACAAAUUCUGGGCAUUGAAGGGUGAACUAUAACACCUUCGAGGCUAAUGCGCCACCUCGUUGCAGAUCUCCACGCCGAAAAGCCUGAAACGUUUCUUUUGAUCAGCAAGGAUUCCUUCAGCUUCAUUCAUAUUUUGGCUUACAGCUUCAAGUUUACAGUUAUCAUAUUGAUAAUUUUUAGCAUCAUUCUCAACCAAGCAGCUAACAUCUUCGCUUUCGACGCCAUCCCAGUUAACUUUAACCAUGUAAAAUGUUUGAGGCUCCUUGUUACCAUUGUCCCCCAGUUGCUUGUACUGGCAUUGGAAGAAUGUAAGAAUGUCUUUUGCCUUCAAAUGGUGCGUCUUUACGAACCGACUCCAACCCUUGGUGAACACAAAACUCCUGCUACUCUUCCAAUAACAGUACCGGAAAGUCCACGACCUCAUCAUAUUAUCAUAAAACACUAGCUGGCUGGAGCAACUCUCGACCUUCUGACUUGUGGCUUCAGAAAUGCUGGGAAAGCACCGUUUGGCAUUGCUAACCGGUAUCACAAGUCUAUUCAGCUUACCAACAUCACUUGGUGUCAGCUCUUUUUGGAAAAGAAGUCGGUUCAACAUCUUUCCAUUUCCGUUGUUAUGCACCCUAGCCAAGCUGCCAAAUUGGAUAUCACUCCUCAAACUCUCCCUUGCAGCGUGACUCCUUCGAUAUUCUAAGAACUCGGCCUGGUAGGAACCAUCCUUGAUCAUUCUCAACACAGCUUCUUUAGAGUACUGAUUUUGAAAGUGUGGCUCUUCAAAGGUGAAUUUGGUCCAUGGAAAGUUGCGAUGGCAAUCGCAACCACGAAGCUUGAUUGCAGCGCUAUCAUAAGCCAUAGCUGCUUCGUUCUCAGAGCUGAACGUGCCAAGCCAAACCCUUUCGUGAUUGGCAUAUAUCUGGGCACCCCAAUGCCCAUUUGGCUGCUCAACAACUCCUUUGAACCUUUUCGAUACACGCCUACUAGCACCAUCUGAUGAGUCAUUCGUAGCAAGGCUUGGACCGCAAACUUCUCCAGUCUUACAUUUCACUCCUUUGUUUGAGACCGUGCUUGACAUGCCCUCUUCCAUAACGCUUCUGCAGUAAUACCUAAUAGGAAAUUUUCAAAACGGAAGGCAAAAAAUGUAUGAACGAAUUAUUAAUGUUCAUAAUUAAUUAGCACAAUUUUAUGUUCACUAAUUAGCUCACAUUGAGGGUCUUUGAUAAGAUAAGACUCCAGAAUUGAAUCGACUGUAUAAAAGUAUUGGUAGAAGAGUAAACAGAUAAAAAAAUUUGAAAAAAAUUAAAGCCUUUCUCUUUUUUUUUUUGGAUUGAAAAAGAUCAUAUAUUGAUUGAGCAUCCAAAACAGACAAUCGCAUCUUGUAAAUUUCAUAUUAAAUAGCUUACUUUAAAAACAGAAAAACAGGGACACAAAAACUUGAAUUAUGUAAACUAGUUUUGAUUAGGAAGAAGUACUUAUUAGUAAAAAGCUAUAGUAAUUGUUCCUUCAUAACAAGUCAACCAAAAAAAAGAGAAUUCUCACGGCACCCGUCACUUAUUAACACCAAUUUACGCCAAGGACUCAAAAAGUAUCUAUAGUUACUACUCAUUCAUACAAUUUUUUUUAAGAAAAAAAAAAUCACAUAGCACGCGUCAUUUAUUAACACGUAAACAAUUUAUGAAAUCUUCUUCAACGACUCAAAUUUAGUAUCAAAUCAAUUUCUCGUACAUAAAAUUCAAGUCCAGAAAAAAAAGAAAUGAAAAAAAAGAUAGAAUCUCGUGGCACACGUCGCUUAUUAACACGUAAACAAUUUAUGCUAAGGAUUUAAAAAGUAUCGGUAGGUACUACACCUUCAUAACAAUUCCAAAAAAAUAAAAGAGAAAGAAUCUCAUAACACACGUCGCUUAUUAGCACGUAAACAAUUUAUGAAAUCUUCUUCAAUGACUCAAAUUCAUUAUCAAAAUCAACUUCUCGUAAAUAAAAUUCAAGUUCUUCAUCAUCAACUAGUAAUUGCCGCGGCAGUUUCGCAAAUGAAAACCAUUAGUGAAAGAAACAAUUAAAUAAAACUACAUGAAGUGAAAUCUUUUAAGUAGAUAACGACUGUUACCUCGACGAGUAACCCGCUGCAAAUAAAUGGAAGCAGCAAAUCUGUUGCUCCUCCUGAAGCUAAAACAAGUUCCUCUCAGAGAAACAAAACAAAAACCAACAACAUAUAUAGAAGAACAUCAAAAACUCUAUUUGGGCCAGCCUAGAUAAAGCUAACACAAACCCUAGCUAUUUAAUACAUUCAUUCACCUUGGAAACAAAGAAAAAAUCUUAUCCAAAAAAGGGCAGUAAAUCAGAAUCCAGGAAAAUCUGGCAGUUGUAAAAGGUAAUUAAUGGCACCAGAAAAAGUUUAUAAAUUUCUGUCCAUAUUUGGCACUCAGCUGUGAUCCACAAGGGCUUACGUUUCCUCUUUCCACCUCCAGAUUUUACAACGAAACCCGGAUUUGAGUUGAAACCGGAAAAUUUGGCUGUCAUCAUCAAUGCACCCAAACAAAAGAAAAUCCAAUCAGCAAGUUCAAAUCGUUAUGAAUAUGAAAGAAAUUAAUUAUUGUCUAGGUUUUGAAGAAAAUAAUACUUUCUGAUGGUGUGGCAGACAUGGCCAAGCAAUUGGCUAAAAGAGUGUGCUACAUUUUUUUAGUGUGGCUGGAAUAUGGGCAGAUACACUAUUAUACAAGUAUCUCUUAACUUUUAUAAUGACAUAUAUCGUAUAUGCCUGUAUUCUGAAUACAUUAAAAAAUCUCUCGUUUGCAUGGUUUGUAUGGUAUAUAUUAUUUAAUUAUAAAAUUAUUAUGAUACAUAUAUGUAUGGUAUGUAUGUAUCAAUCUGUCUGGACAUUAAUUUGUUGCUUUUUGUAUCGUAAUCCUUCUGUCAUCCCCUUUUUGUAUGAUAAUCCUUCUUCUAUCAUGUCCCAAAAGAGGAGAAAAGGGAAGGUCCGAGGGUCUGCCUGGGAAAAUGCAAAAAAAAAAUAGAGAUAUAUAUAUAUACGGGAUAAAUAAAUAAAAUUCAAUGCUUAUUUUCUUGGAAGAAUGAAAGAAAGAAAGAAGAGUGCACCUGGAAAUUGGAAGCUGAUGAGAUUGUAGCUAUGUAGGCGGAAGAAGGAGAGAGAGAGAGAGAGAGAGAGAGAGAGGAUGGAAAUGGAGGGCAGCGGAGGUGGGCGGUGGGCGGCUGACAGAAAGAGACGUGAGCACGCAGCACCAUUCAACUCACUGCGUACUAGUCCAGUCUACUACUCUCCCUCAUCCAUUCAACUCACUUCAUACAGCAGCGUAUAUUUCUAGUCUUCUAUUUAUAGCUGACUACACUGUCUAUCUUCUUCCUCAACUAACAUACCUACUCCCCACUCUACUCUAGCUAAAGUUUAUUUUGUAUAGAAGGGAUUCGUAGCUCAACUUGUCAAGAGCAUGUACCAUCGAAUAUGAGGUCACAAAUAAAAUGUUCGCCUUAUGUAACUUAAGGUGUGUUUUUUUAAAUGUAAUAAGUGGCGGAUGCAUUGAGGGGUAGGGGACUUCUGUGAACGUCCAUGGAUACCAAGGUGCUGACCCUCCGAACUUCGGUGAAUGUCCAUGAAUACCUUGAGUGCUGCCCUUUUGAAUAUUAGAGUUGGCUUCAUACAUGCCCUUUUGAUAAAAUGUAUGAAAAAAGAGUGAAUGAAAUGAUGAUUUCAGUGAAUAACAAAGCAUUAUCAUUCUUGGACAAACAUAUUAAUGGGAUGCAAUGAUAUCAAACAUGGUUAGUGUGUUUAAGAUAAGUGUGUUUCUUUGUUAAGCAUUCAUAUGAGAACAACCUUAGAACAUGUUAGUUACCCUCGCAAAUGAGGCAUUAACAAGUGUGCAUUAUGCAUUUCCAAAUGACUUCAGGCAUACCAAGACUUGAUGAAAUGGUGAUAUGCAAGCUAUUUUUGGUAAAAAAAAAUUGCGCUACGCUCGUUAUUCUUAUUGACCCCCUUAAUAUUAUUUUCUGGAUCCGCCACUAAAUGUAAUCAAAAUAAAAAAUUACAUAUCGAUUACGGUUAUGAUGUGCUUACCAAUUUUAUGAGAAUCAAAACACAAAUAUAAUAUCCGAAAUGGGACUUUGAACCUAGAACAUCUUUCUAACAUUAGAACGAAGAGCACUACCCGACUAAGACCUAGUUGAUAACUUUUCUAACAACUACGAUGAAAAUAGGUGAUAUGCACGUAACUGUUGCAAAGAAGUUGUCAUCAUUUUUAAGAAAAAUUUACUCGCUUUUGUAUACAAACAAGAUAAACUUAACACAUUGGUGGUGUUGGUACUCAAAAGAAUGUAUAGACUAAUAUACAUCCACUCCAUUUGCACUUGCAGUGUGAACAAGUUUCCACAUAUGAACCUAUGUUCUGAACCAUGGGCCCUAUUGUCUAGAGGCCCAUACAAUCAAAGUCCAAUCAAGUCGGUCCAAGACCACUGCGGCUUAAACACCCAACCCGGCCCACUCACCCAUACGCGCCAUCGGAUCUUGCGGAGCAGUCCUCUCCGACUCGCAGCAACCGAAUCAAAGAUUCAGAGCUCUCUCUCUUCUGAUUUCGAAUCAAUGGCCAAGGAAGCUUACGCCGCACGAAACCCAGAUGAGGUUCACACAGACGUGCUCUCCAAUGCCAGACAAGCUUGCUAUAAGGUCCUAUUUCGCACUCAAUCUCUCUCCUCCGUUCUUUCUCUUCUGAAAUGUAAAUGUCGAGGAUUGAAAUUUGGGGUUUAAUCUGCAACUUGAUGUGCUUGAAAGGCACGGGACGCUUUCUAUGCGUGUGUGGAGAAAGAAUCGGACAAGAAGCAGACCGAAAUCGCAUCGAAAGGCCAGUUGUACGCAGCGGAAUGCAAAGCUUCGAGGGAGGAGUUUGUCAAACACUGCCGUACUUCUUGGGUAAAAUCUGAAAUCCCCAAUUCUCAAGUUUCAAUUUUUACUUCACAUUGUGGGAUUUUGGGUUUCAUGGAGCUCAAAGUUUUUGUUUUUAUUUAUUGGAUUUUUGUUAUUUAUUUAGUUUUAAUCUCUUGAGGGGUUUUGGAAAUGGUUUAGGUGAAGCAUUUUGAUGCGCUCGACUGCAAGAACAAGAGUCUGAAGAGGCUUUUGGAUGAUAAGGAUUCGAGGAGAGGUCCGUUGUCACUUCCAGAGCCUUACACUUACAAGCCUACCACCACUAGUUAAAACUUUUCAUGUCAAUUUUGGUUGAAUAAAUCAGUUUAAUGUGUUGUUGUACAGCAAUAGUAAUGUGGGAUUAAUGCCUAGAGCUUACUUCUGACGAGUAAAAGAUUCGUAUGAAGAAAAUGAGUAUCGGUUUCUGACUCCAUUUUCGUGGAUCACAUGUCAAAUGAUUACUGAAUACAUUUACGUGCAUCUGCACUUUCGUUUUAUGACAAUACUGCUUGAUACUAUAUUCUAUUGUGUCUCAUUGCUUCUAUGUUAUAAGUUACAACUUUACUAGGAAUACUUCGGUGGGAGUUGGAUUACAUUUACAUAAAAACUUAGGAUACCGAUAAUUGCAGUGAGUGGAACGUUUAUCCAUUUUCGCAGGGGUAUGAAGCUUGACUUGGCCCCUGAAGACUGAAGGAAUCAUCCUGAUCGGUUCCUGGGUUCUUGUUCAAUUCAUUAUCUGGUGGGAGGCGGAGAUCUAUACUGGUUUUGAGGCUUGCAGAGGGGUGGUACCACUUUUGGAAGUUGUCAGUUUUUGGUGUCCAUUUAUGUUUGAAUAAGAAACAUUGGAGAAGAAAGGUGUCUAUACCUGCCAAAAUGUGCUUUUCGCACAAUUUUAUUUUGUAUUAAUUUGAAUGCUUACGUAGUUGGAAUACUUCUCUGUGGUUCUUAAGUUUGAUGUUCUUUACACACCUAAGAAAUCUAGGCAAUCGGAAGAAUUAAGGCGGUAGCAUGUGGUCAAUCCCAGUGUUCUGAUCGAAGGUAUCCAUGGAGAGAAUGUAGAGAAUUCCAGAGCCUAGUCGGUAUGAGAAGCCGAGGAUUUGCUGAGCCAAAACAGUCAGUAAACUGGUUAUGAUAAGAAAACUUCAAUUUGUUUACAGGUUUUUGAGACUUGAAACUGGAGUGGAGAUGCUUUGCUUAGUUUCUCAAUAGGGAAACUGGAUGAUGUGAUUAGGAAUGCAGUAGAAAAUCCUUCAUACAUUCCUUCUGUUUUUCCCGCUUUUACAUGACAGGGUUUAGAUCUCGAUUUCUCGAGCUAGAGAUCAUGUGCUUGAUGGAUUCGAUUCUUACCUAUUGAACGUGAAAUUUUUUGCAUCUGCAUUUGGAAUGACUUUGUGAAACUGCAGAUCGUGCUUCUUGUUAGCGACAGUUGAUACAAGCAUAUCGAAUUCAUUGCUGUAGGUUACUGACAUGUUAUUUUUAGCUCUGGAACCACAGUUCAUAGGUUUGAAGAAUCCUGCAAGUUCAGAGAGUUUGCUUGUAUUGUUCCCCUUCAAUUUGGACGCAAGUUUGCGAAAAAAAAAAAUCGCAAAACGAACACGAUUAGGUUGUUUAGUAACUUGUUGAAUUUGAACUAAUCAAAAUCAAUUGGUUCUGGGAUUGAAUUGAAUUCGGAGCAGUUUUGUUCAGAUAGGUUAUCCGCAAUCUGAUGAAGGCCUGCACUUGCAGAUGGGUGCCACCUUUCUUUAUAUGAACGAAUUUCAUCUCAGUUUUUCUCUCUUCUAAGUAUAAGAAAAACAUCGGUAAGGUUGCGUGAUUAGGAAAGCUCUCGUAGUAGGUGGAACCAACGAAAGGUCAGAUAUGAUUAAAAUACAUGAGGUUUUAUGCUUUUGCAAAAAAUACUUUACAGAUGACGCGAUCGGGUAUCCUACCAAAUUUUUAUAAUCGUUUUCCUUUGCCUUGGCUGUCAUAUCUCUAUGCACUGCAAUCGCAUAUUCUGAAUAGAACAAUUCAGGGAAAAUCGUUUCUGAGUUUAUUAGUCUUGAAAAGGAACCACUAAUCUUAAUUUAAGCGCAAGUAAAAAUAUUGAGAGAUUUUUCAAUUUACUCAGAACACACGGCGGUACGUUAUAUGUUAUUAUACAGAAACAGAGAGAGCAACAUCUAAUCUUAAUUAAGUGCAAGUAAAAAUUAUGGUGUAUAGUCAACAGAGUUCUAAACAAUUGACACAUAUCCUUUUACUUUAUUAUUUUUUUUUUUAAUUGAAAAAAGUAACAUUUAAUUUUAAAGUUAGGUGAAAUGACAUAUGUCAAUUGAUUAGGUAUAUGGUGAGCAUUCACCAUAAUUAUGGUGGUGACAAAAAAUGGUUCUAUUUUUUUUUUCAUGUAUCCCUCUAUUUGUAUAAUGGCAUAUGGCGUAUGUGCUGGAAUUUCAAACACACUAAAAAAUCUCAUGUAAAUAUUAAACAAAUAUACUUUGGAAAAUGUAACAACAAUUUUCAAUGCCACAUUUUUAUUAUUUUUGGUUCCUGCAACAUCUUUUCUUAUUGGACAAGGAUUGUCUGCUCUCCACUUUCGGUGCCCUUUCUGUGCCCUCCUGUUUUGUGUAGUCACGGUUAAGCCACGUCAACAUUUUAUAUAUAUUUUUUUAUAGAUAUAAUAAAACAAAAAUGAAUAGUAAUAUAAAACGUUGACGUGACUUAACCGUGACCACACAAACAGGAGGGCAUAGAGAGGGCACCGGAAAUGGAGGGCAGACAAUCCUUGUCCUUUCUUAUUAGUUAUAUUUAUGAACUGUUUAAUCAUCCUGAAAUCAUAUUGUGCAAUCUCUUUGACUAGCUCAGUGGAGUUAUGGGCAAAAAUAGAUUAAUAAUAAUAAAAACAAUGUAAUAAUAAUUAUAUACCCUAAACCACAGUGAGGUGGUGGUAGUUCAAUUGUUGAAGAUGAAUUUUAAGCCCGUAUUUCACACAGCAAGUUUUGAGUUUGAUUCUUGAAACUAAUGAAUCACACGAUGGUGGCAGGGGAGAUAAUGUUUUUUUUUAAUUUUUUUGGCUCCUGAAAAAAUAAAUUAUCGUGGUGAAGUCAUUAACUGAUUCUUUUUGUUUUAGAGAAAUAAUUAAAUAAACCCUAAAAAAAUAUUAGGGAUUUAGAAAUGGAGGGUGAAUGGUUGAAUGAUGGGGUGGUGAAGAAUUGACAAAAAGUAGUGGACUACAUGUCUCUUAAUAUUCCCAUGUGCAUCAUCCAUGUAUGAAAUAUUGAAAAAAGAAUGCGAAGAAGAAUAUGUAAAUUGAAUAUUUUGGGCAGAUCUCGGAAGAUCAAGCAUGAAAGCUCUUUGAUACCAAUAUCUACCUCCAAAUCAAUAAGCCGGCUGUGGGCAUGCAUCUCUGUCGAUCUCGGUCUCGACAUAUUAAUAAACAAAAUAAGAAAAAAAGGAGGGUAGAAGAUGAAAAUGAGAGUGUGAAAAUUACUAUUUUUUUUAAGAGCUUGAUGUGAGAGCAAUGAGUCCUUACAGCUCGAGAGAUUCUUACGUUUGGAGGAAGAUUUAUAAACUAUGACUAGACAUGAUGAACGAUGAAGAGAUGAAGUUAUAUACUCAAUGACUUACGAAUAACGAGAUUAGUCAUAACUAAGUAUCGAAGUCAUAAAAAAUAUAUGAUGUAACUGUUCUCGUCAUACGAGUCAAACUACAUGUAACUUCCAACUACAUGUAAACUAACAAAUUAUACCGAAUCAAGACGAAUUGAUAAAGCCAUAUAAAAGAACAUGUUAUCUUGAACCUCUCCUCCUUUUUUUAAUAUUAGUUCUGUUUCAUUAGUCAUGGUGCCUUCUAACCUAACGAUAAUUAAUAAAUAAUCAAUACAAGUCUUUUUAAUUUUGAUUUAGCUAACAUAGGAUAGUAGAAUAAAGAAGGUAAGUAAAGGGUAAUAUAAUAUGUGUUUUUUUUAAUAAGAAGGGGAUGUGGCUUCGCCACGAUAAUCUACAUUUUUGAGAGCCAGAAGGACUCACAUAAAUAUUUUACCAUUUUUCUGGUCACUAUCGUGUUAUUCACUAGUGUCAAAUAUCAAAUCUAAGAUAUACCGUGUGAAACAUAGGCCUUAAAUUCGUCCCAACUAUUAGACCACCAUGUGAAGGUUAAUACAAUACGUGUGUUGUCCCUUGCCUUUUGUAAACAAUGUAUACCACCUCAACUCUACGAAUCACCCAAACGCAACUCUUUCUAAUCACAUAUGAUAACAUGAUUACGAAUCGAUUUCGAUUUGAACCGUCAAGUAAUUAUAUGUGCUGUAGUUCAUUAAGUUUGCUUUGUUUGUGUGUUAAGUUUCUUAUGCACCAAGUACUAGCGAGUUGAUAUGGAGAAAAACUUCAGUAUUACAAUAUGCGUCGUCAGACUAUCCUUAUAAAGGAAUGAAUCUUUUUGUAUUUAAGCACGAUUUAGUAUGUAAGAGUACAAUUUAUCAAUGUACAUAAUUUCACGUGUUGAAUGAGUAUUUGACAAAUCACAUAAUCAGACUAUCCUAUUAAAACAUUACAUUCAAUUAGUCAAAUAGUGUUAAAAUCAUAAAGAAUGAUUGGACUCCCAUGAUAACUUAUCAUAUACGUUUCGAGUUAAAAUCAUCCAUAGAAAUAAGGAGAAAAUUGUUGACUCAAGAGAAGAGAAGAAAAAUUCAUACGUGCAAAAGAAGGGUAAAAUCUGAGUCCAAGUUGUCUAGCAAUCAUCAUCGCAACGAUUGAAGGAGAUGGGAUUAGAAAGAUGGGAUGAAACAACAAGAGUUAGGUACCACUUAAACCUAACAUCCAAGAGACUGAUGGAUCCUUCCAAGUUCCAACAACUAAGAACAAAAUUAGAGUUCAUGGGUGGGUAAGUUGCAUUGAUUAUUUUUUCAUGCCAAAUUGUAUAUUUUUUUUUAGACAAAUCACAGUUUAGUGCGUUGCUAGAGAAAAUUUCUCUAACAUAUAAAGGAACAAACCAUAAUUUUGGUCAUGUUGUCUAAUCAAUUUUAAGUACGACUAGUGUAUUAAGUCAACUUUCACAUUAAACGAGAACGUAAAGUCAUGUAGAAUAAAAAUCUCAUACUUUUAUAAGACGUAUGCACACCUCUCGCCAAACUUUUCUUUAAAUUGUCAUACACAAGGUGAUCAGGCUUACCAAGUGAAAUGUCUUUGUCGUAAAAUGGAAGAAAAAUAUAACACUCAGUGGACCUAAAAUCUAAAAGAACUUUCAACAAACAAAACCCGAAAAAGAAAAAGUCAUCAAAGCUUAGCCUAACUGCUGCCCAUUCGGUUUCGAUAAAAUACUCCUCCUUAAUAAUUCUCUCAUCAUUAUUAAACCCUAGUCAUUUCAUUUCCAACCUAUAAUCAUGAUUUUUCAAGAAUCAAGAUAAACAUGCUCGAUAACUUUGAAAUAUGAAAUAUCUCGAAACAUACCAGAAAUUCACAAGUACAUUGGAGAAGAAUCGAGAUCCUCUCUAGAAUUUUUGUGUCAGGAGUUCAAACAUCAAGAGAUUCGAGACAUUGAAGAGAGAGAUCCAGACUUUUGGUUUGUGCGAGGUAGCCAGUGUGAUGAGCUAAUGUGAUGAGUAGUUCAGUUCUCAUAGUCUUUGAAUUCCAGACACAAAAACACUGAGAGAGUCUCAAUUCAUUGCGAACCAAAUUACACUAGAAAAUAAUAAUUUUCUUCAGAUAAAACAACAAAAGAAAAGAUUAAAUCAAGGGAAAAAAAAAACAAAGAGACCCCAAAAACAUCUUUUUGUAAAAAGGGGUUUUAUGGAGGAUCUGGUGGUGCGGUUGAGUUAGCUUUUAGCCAAAGUCUACGCAAAUACGGCGUCGUUGGAAAAGCACCACCCUUGAUGCCUUAUUUUCGUAGACUUUAGACGGCCUUGGAGUCCACGUCACUAUGUAUGUUCAUUUGUCGCCAGAAAGUAAAUCCAAAGCCAAAAGGUCAGUCAGGGCUUGGAGACGGAGGUGGCGUCUUUGACGGAACCGUCAACCCCGCCGUUGCCCAUGGUGGCUGACUGGACUGUCAGCACGGACAUGCUGGGAGAGGAGGGCCCGUCACCGCCGUUGGACGGGACAACUUGGUGGUUGUUGCUGUUGUUGUGGAGGAGGGGGUUCCUGGAGUGACAUGUGGCGGUGGAGAUGGCGGUGGCCAACGAAAUCGGCAUGAGGCAGAGGCCUUUUCCCUGGAGGUACUGCAUGGCGGAGCCCAUGUCUUUCUCCAUGAGCUUGGCGACUUGGUGUUCCGUCACCGUCAUGCUGUUGUCGUUGGAUGAGGAGGCCGUUUGGUUGCCGUUUGAGCUCCGUCCGCGGGUCCCGCCGUUGGCACUGGCUUGGAUACAGUCACCGCCACCCUACAGCGACGACCAAAGAUUAAAAUAUUAGUUGAUUUUUUCUUAAAGGUGUGAAAAGGAAAGGACAAAGGCCAAAAGAGAAAGACGAAUCUGAGAAAGUGGCACGCGUGCUGCUUUUUCUUUUGUCGUUUUGUAUGAAGGAGAAUAUGGGGUUGGUCAGAGGAAAUUUUUAGUUGUGACGGAAACGCGUGUUUUAAUAGAAGUGGUGAGAAAUUUUAUUUUUUAAGUUAUUAACAUUUUAACACAUAUAUCCCACCAUUUAUAUAGUAACAAAUGAUGUAUCACCGCGUGUACCGAUAAUAUUGAAAAAUCUCUUGUUGGUUUGGUACACUGCUGGGUGUAGGGUGGGUGAAAAUGGGGUGGUAUUGGUGGGUUUCUGCUUGGCCAAGAUACGUAUAAGGUCCAAGCGGUUUGCAAAAUGUUCUAAUCCGAGGACAUUCGUCAACUUUCAUUAAUUUCUUGCACAAAAUAUACACUCUCAUAACACAUUGUGUAAAUUUGACAGAUUUCUUACACAAAAGUGUUAAAGAGCGACGAAUGUCCUCGUCUUGCAAUUCGCAAACUACAAUAUCUCAAAUCAAUGCAGUUGAAAAUAUAGAAACGAAAAUGGCACAAGACUUAUUCACACAAGUACGCCUUUAUGUUAGUACCCAAAUCAAUAAUGCAAUGUCAUAUGUUUAAAUUUUCUCAUAUAACAUCAAUGUGUUAUUAGUUUAUAAAUGUACUUGGUGUAGAUAAGUCGAGAUUUCAAAAGUAUACAUAAUGGUAUAUUAUGGGUGGGUUUAUUUUGAAUUGAAUUUACCUCAGAGGACAUAUCAGCAACAAGGGGAGCAACAGCAGCUGCACCGCCCAACCUGCUCAUGCUCAGAACCUUCAUAUUGUGGUGUGCCCAAAAAGCACAAUGCCAGUCAGUAAACAUGACUAAUUAACACAUUAAUUACUUAAUUAUCAUAUCCAGAUUCUAAUUUAGCAAACAAUAUCAAGUCAACCAACCAGGGAAUCUCUCUUUUUUCCUUUAAUUAAUCAAUAAUUAUACACUUAUGAGCACAUAAAAUAAUAAGUUAACUUAAAAGAUGAGAGCAGUACCUUGACUUGGAGCUGGAGGAAUUUUACAUAAUCGAUUAUCUCAUCCAGCAUUGAAGCUUUGUCUGCCUGUCAUUCCAAAACCCACAUCCAAUUCAUUAAAUUAUUAGAUCCCAUCUCAUAUGGAAAACAUAUAUGUAUACAUAUACACACACAUGGCAUAUAGAAAUAUACUAAACUAGUUUUAAACAACUGAUAGCGUGAGUGGUUUUAAUUGUUAGUUGUUAGGAAAUGAGGGGAAUCGUGGGGAUCGAGUCCGAACCAUAGUGCAUAUGCAUGAUUAACUUCCGUUUUUGCGGUAAAGAGCCAUUUGCACCCUAAACUGGUUUUACAAAUACUUAAAAGUAGUUACUUGCGACCCAAUAAGUAUAUGGUUAAGCUACAAGAAUAUAGGCUUUGCCAUGACAGUCUACCGUUUUGAAGGCUGGGAAUGCUCAAAGGGGCAUUUGAGCCUUUCCUGUCCACCAUCGUGUGAUUCACCAGCAUCAAGAAUCGAACCCAGAACGUGCCGCGCGGAAAACAAGCAUGGAAUUCAUCCUAAACCACUGAGUCACCCCAUGAUGGUUUUACUUAAUCAUUAGAUUAAAAAAUUAUUUAUACUAAUAUUUUCUUGAGUCAAUAUUAUUUACAAGAAUGCAAGUCUAACUAACUAGUAAAGUUUCCAAUACUCCAUUAGUUCAUUAUUAGCCUAACAAAUCGGCAUUUGGGUCGUCCGGAGUACCCCUUUUUCUCCUUUCUUUUGCGCACGGAAGGAUUAAUUACCAUUUUUUUGUUCAAAACAAAACCUCCUACUGAAUGGAAGACGAACACUUGUCUACCGAACGAGAAAUUUACCUACACUCGCUUUUUAAGCAUUCUAAGCUAAUAACAUACCAUAAGUCUAUAAUGUAUUUUUGCUUUUUCACUGUAAAAUUACUUUGAUAGACCGAUAUAGUGACAUAUUAACAAUGUGUUAUGCGUUAGAUAUUUUAUACUCAAUCUCAAUCAUUUAUUUUUUUCGUAUCACUUAACGCUAAUUGGCAUUGAAGAAAAAUUGCUAACAAUGAAACGCAAAUAUUUACAUUGUUUAAUCUGGAUUAACAGAUUAUGAUUGAGAAGUAAUUAAUCGGUUAAUUAAUUAAUUGAACUAAAUUACCUUGUUGGCAUUGGGAACGAGCUCCUGCAGAGCCUUCAUCCUCUCUGCAAUUCUCUCUCUCCGUAACUGCAAGUGCAACCCCAUUUCAGUAAGAAAUCAGAAUAACUGACGAAUAGAAACAAACAAAGAAUUGCAGCCGUUUCUGUUUGGUUGCGCAGAUAACAACGAAAAAAACUUUAAUGAAAAAUUUUUGGUACAAUUUAUUUUAACAAAAAAAUCAUAUUUUUACUUUAAAAAGUUAAUCAUAAUACUAUUUACUUUCUCUUUUAUUUUGUUCUUAUUUGUUCUUAUUUGUUCUUAUCGUUAAUACGGAAAGAUUCUUUUUCAUUAUUUUCCUAAAAACAAAAUUGACUGAAACGCACUCUUUCGGCUAUGCUGUGUGGGUCAGUGGCUUGACCUCUUCUCGCCCUGACUCUGGGCCUCGGUUGGACCGGCGCUGCCCCAGCCGAGCCACCCGCCGGAGCUUGGUUCAACGCCGCCCCUGCACCUCCGUAGUUCUGCGCUUGCAGCUGACCUCCCUGUGCAUAAUUCUCAAUCCGAAUUAAAACCAAUCGUGAUUAAUUAAAUUAAUAAUAAUAAUUAAAUAAAAUUAAGAGCAGGGGCAUGCCUGAGGGUGGUGAAAAUUUGGAGACUGAGAAUUCGCAGCUCCAUGCAGUGAUGCACCGAAGCCAUUGAACAGGGAUUGAACGGAAGAAGCCCCAUCGGCGCCCUGUAAAAUAACGUAUUUACAUUUAUGCCACUCCAUUAGUUCACCAUUGUAAAUUUACAUUUAUGCCUUCAGUUCCAGACACUGAGAGAUGGAGAGAGAUACUCACCACUUGAUUGGGGGAUUUGAAGGAGGAGCCGUCGCCGACGUCGUUGUUGGAGCGGCCAAAGUCGCCGUUGUUUCCCAAAGACAAUCCCGUGGGACCAAAGCCGGAGUCGGCAGCGCCUGAUCUGGACAUCAUGAGCUGGUGCUGGAGCAUCAUGGCGGCAGCAGCUGCGGCUGAUGCGGAGGCGGACUUGUUAGCGCCGGAACCGGCGCUGAUCUGCUGGCUGCGAAACUUGGCGGCGAGGGUGGCGGAGUCGUCGUAAGAGAAGACGACAUUGUCGGGGUUGGAGGAGAGCGGAGGCGGGGCAUCGUCGGCGGCAGAGGCCCAGGAGGGGCCGAGGGUGGAGAGCAUUUGCUCGAGGAAGUCGUCGUGGGUGGCGGAGUCGAAGUGGGAGGCGGAGGGGGUUGGAAUUUGAUGAUGCAUCUGGGAGUGAGAGUGUGGUUGUUGUUGGAGGUGGUGGUGGUCUUGGAGGGAGAGUUGGGAGGAGGAGGCUGAGGAGUUCAACAAGGAGUUCAUUUCCUGCAUUUCUCUCAACAAGGAGUUCAUUUCCUGCAUUUCUCUGCUACAAGGCUGCAUAUAUAUAUAUAUAUAUAUAUAUAUAAACACGCACACACACACACACACAAUCAAUAUAUAUAGAUAUACUAUAUAGACAGAUGACUAGAGAUGAUUAGGUGGAGAUUAAUCAAAUUUGGGGAGGAUUAAUUAAUUAGAUUUGGGGGGUUUAGAGUGGAAUUAUUGGAGGAGGAGGGAAAGGCGAAAGAGUUUGGGAAUGGCGGUUUUUGGUGAAGGGAGGGGGUGAGAGAGAUUAUAAAUAGGGAAAAAUGGCCGAGUGUGUGUGCGUUUUGCGUGGAUGGGGCCCAUUCUCACCCGUCAAACGCGUCUAGCAUACUCUUUUGGUCAGACACUAGAGUAGAGAUACCUGAGAGUACCAAAUCCACACUAGUACUGUCCUGUAUGCGUUUUGGCUAAUGGCAGUGUGUUCGUCACAUUUUACUUGAAUUUGAAUUGAAAAAUAUUAAGAGCAUUCUCUUAAAAACGGGUUUAAGUCAAGCAUUGUGUUCGUCUUUUUCACUUGAAUUUGAACUAAUAAAUGUUAAGUAUAAUCUUUUAAUAGUGGGACUCUCUAUGUACCCUCUGUUAUCUCACAGUUUAACUUAAAUUGUCGUGCCAACAUUAUAAAACAUUAUGUAACAUCCCACAUCGCCUAGGGGAAUGAUCUUUAAAUGUAUAUUUUCAUCCCUACCUAGCACGAGGCCUUUUGGGAGCUUACUGACUUCGGGUUCUGUAGGAACUUCGAAGUUAAGCGAAAAGGAGGUCAGAGCACUCCCAGGAUGGGUGACCCAUUGGGAAGUUGCUCGUGAGUUCUCAAAAACAAAACCGUGUGGGAAUGGUAAGCCCAAAGCGGACAAUAUCGUGGUGCUACGGUGGUGGAACGGGCCCGGGAUGUAACAAAUGGUAUCAGAGCCAAUCCCUGACCAGAAGUGUGCCGACGAGGACGUCAGGCCCCUAAGGGGGGUGGAUUGUAACAUCCCACAUCGCCCAGGGGAGUGAUCCUUAAAUGUAUAUUUCCAUCCCUACCUAGCACGAGGCAUUUUGGGAGCUCAUUGGCUUCGGGUUCCGUAGGAACUUCGAAGUUAAGCGAGAAGGAGGCCAGAGCACUCCCAGGAUGGGUGACCCACUGGGAAGUUGCUAGUGAGUUUCCAAAAACAAAACUGUGAAUGAAUGGUAAGCCCAAAGCGGACAAUAUUGUGCUACGGUUGCGGAACGGGCCCGGGAUGUGGUGGACCUGGACGGGGAUGUGACACAUUGUAUCAAAAACAUGAUGUGUUAAAGAGUCCAUGGAGAAUCCCAUUUUUCAAUAAAUGGUUACCAUGGAAAACAGCCGAAUUGAUUAGUUAUGUGACCAAUACGCAAUGUGUUUAGAAGUUCAUGCGUUAUAGAACUUGCCACUAAAAACUAGCUUAAAUUGGCUUGUUAGUGAAGGGUGCUUAAAAACUCCCGUUUGGUAGGCUGAAUGUGGUUGAGUCUUAGGGAUAGAAUUGGAUUGAAAUAGACUUGUAAGACAUGACUUAUAACCCAUGUUUAAUGAUUAGAUAACCCACUUUAUUAUAAAUCCAUAACCCAUCAUGUCUAAGUCUUAUUCAUUUCACAUUUUGACACAUCAAGUAAGAAACUUGACUCAGGUCCAUUUUUACUGAUCACAAUCUAUCCCAACCAAGAUCUAAAAUAUAUAUGAUAUCGGAAAUAUCGGUAGUCUAAAAACACGGAAAUUUCGAUGAAAUAUUGAGAUAUUAUCGAUAUCGAUAAAAAUUGAAUAAAAACCACAGAAAUUGUAAGAAAAACUUGAAAAUUUUUAUUGAAACUUUGCAAGAUGUUUAUUUAGUCAAUUAUCUAUUAGUUUAUCACAAAAAAUUGGAAGGAAAUGCAUUGCAUAAUGGAUUUAACUAAUUUAAGUUGAUUAUAUAGUGAGCUGUCAAACAUUGUAAGUAUAUAAAAUAUGUAGUAAUUAAUGAAAGAAAUUUAAACACACCAUAAUCAUUUAUAUAUAAUGAAUUAGUACAAUAUUUUACAUUUUAUACAUUGCAUGGUAAGAUACAUGAGUGACUUAGUAUCAUGUAGAAUUCCUAUCAAGGUCUAAAAUAUCGAUGAUAUCGGAAAUAUCGGUAGUCCAAAAACACGAAAAUUUCGAUAAAAAUAUCAGGAUAAUAUCGAUAUUUUAGACCUUGAUCCCAACUAGCCCAUCAGACAAGCCACUCCAAGACAUGUUGUUUUUCAUGGACAAUUGAAUCCUAACUCAAUGUAUUUAACGUUGGGUAAAAGAAUCGUUCAAAACAAGCAAAUCGAACCAAGUUGAUGGUUCGAUUCGGUUUUCUCAAUGACUACUAGAAUGACCAUAUGAAGUCCACUUUGCUUCUCUUAAUUUCUUACAAGGGAAAAUUAAUUAAACCAAACUGAAGCCAAUCAGUAAAUGAAUUGAUUUGUUUCCGUUAAUGUCUUCUACACUACUAGUUUAGGGCCUAAACCGAACCAAAUUGAACUCUUGAAAACAUUUUUCCAAUUACGAUAUGGACUCUAAAACAAGUAAAACCAAAUCGCGUCCAUCCUCAAUUGUAACUUGAAUCUAAUAUUGUGCGUGUUAAUAUAAUUUUUUUUUAAAUAAUUUUCAUAAUGUACAUAACUCAAUUGUGCUAGUUACUAUCAGAUCUAAAUUCUCCUCCUAUUUGAAUGUUCAAGAUUAAGCAACGACAUCAUUUUGUUUUAUCUUCUAAGAAAUAAAAAGAGAACGAAAAAAAAAGGAGAGGAGGGAAAAAUAGAGGGGUGAGAAUCCAACUCCUUUAGUUCCACAAAUUUUGUAACUUGAAUCUAAUAUUGUGCGUGUUAUUGUAAUUUUUGUUUUAAUAAUUUUCAUAAUGUACAUAACUCAAUUGUGCUAGUUACUCUCAGAUCUGAAUUUUCCUCCUAUUUGAACGCUUAAGAUUAAGCUACGAUAUUAUUUUGUUUUAUCUUCUAAGAAAUAAAAAGAGAAGGGAAAGAAAUGAGAGGAGAGAAAAUUUGAGGGGUGAGAAUCCCACACGUUUGUUUCUCUCAUUCAUCCAACCCAUCUCUAUCGCAACGUUUUUCUCUUAGUUCGGCAACUUCGUUGCGUGGUGGGUUCGUAAGUAGGAAUUAACCAUUUUUCUUUGGGCUUGGCAUUCACAUCAAAGUUCAACAUGUUCAAUCAUAUAUAGUCUUUUCUUCUUAAGAAAAAUGAAUUUUUAACUCAUAGCCUCGCCUUUUAACUUCAAUUUAAAAAACUCGUAUUUGCAUCCGUUUAGUCUUCGUCUAGACGCUUAGGCGCUAGAUCUCAACCCAUCGUCUGACUGGUACCUUUUAGAACAUAGAUAAUUCACCAUAUGAUUUGUUCAAGAUAUACUCGCAUUUUUUUAUACAAGAGCAUCAAUGUGCAAAGAUUAGAAAAUGGGUACAUACAUUUUUAAUUAGAUUUAUGGAAUUUCAACCACUAAAAUGCUCAAGCUUUGUUUGCUAAAAGCAAGACCAGUGGGAUUAUGAUCUUGUUAUGUUAAAAUUCAGCAGCGUUGUGAUUGUUGUGGCCUCUCAUUUAGGAUGCAAUCUUAGUUGUAAUUCCAAUUUCCAAACCAUAUUCAUUGCAUCCAAAUAUCGAAUAUUAUUAGGUUAAGAAAUUCAUUUUCUCAUUCAUUUAAUUAAUUUGUUAGUUUGUUAACAAUGGAUAGUGAUUUUCGCACUUUAUUUUUUUUGCUCCCGCAUGCAGUAAGUAGUUCUUAUGGCAUCGGACCAAAGUCUUGCAAAUUGAUAUUUUACAACACUUCUAUCAAUUAAAUGCUUUUAUCCGUAGAAUAAAGCAACUUGGUAUACCUAUUUUUUUUAUAUUCAUACUUCAUGUUUAUGAAAUUUAUUUCUUUGCUACAACUAAUAAAAAUUCUUAAUUUUGAAAUGAUCGAGUCACAAAUGGAAAUGAUCAUCAUUGACUGAUUCAUAUUUUACGUACAAACCCAUAUACUCUUUUAGACAGUUCAUGCACAAGGAUCUCAAUAAACCAUAUCCUGCUCCUAAUUAAUUGAUUAAUUAAACAAGUAUAAAAUAGUAUAUUCAUUAGUUUCAAGGCGAUGGUUUGAGCUGUGAAGAAUGAAUACAUAAUUUUUAAUCAAACCGAAAUCUGACUCAUACAACCACAAUAAUAAUUAAGUUUUAUUCCACUCAGUGGGGUUGGUUGUAUGAAUUAUAGAAUGUCACUGCGCUUGAUUUUGUGUCAAGUCUUUCGUUGCUGAUGUGAAAAUUAACUUGACACACAAAUUAAACCCUAUUAAUGACAAUUGUAGUAAUGAUGCAAGUAGGGAUCGUUCUAAACCGGGGAUUAACUAGGGAUGCUAAUCAACACAAAUAAGACUCAAAAACACUAAACUAGACUCUAUAGACUCAAAACUAACUCAAAACACUCAAAACAGCAAGAAACAAUAAAAAAAAACUCAAUUCUAGACCUAAUAAGUGACUUGGACGAAAAUAGAACUUAAAAGACUCAAAAGACCAAAAGAAAACAGGUUUUGACUCUAAAAACAAGACUUAAUGAAUGGGGAUUUUGUUUUGACGAAAUUGAAAGUUAAAACAUAAACUUUGAAAACAAACUUAACAAAAACGAUUUUGGAUGAAAAA
This 74994-nucleotide long non-coding RNA is filed under the name Malus domestica (apple). Its description in RNAcentral is "long non-coding RNA (MDOM_LNC001272)". Lineage: Eukaryota; Viridiplantae; Streptophyta; Magnoliopsida; Rosales; Rosaceae. The record is from RNAcentral.